CUUCAUCUAUUCUAUCAUGUCUGACAUGUUUGAUAAUCUUUUGAAGCUAGACGACUCAGCAGUUUUGUAUGAGGGCAUCUUAUGCAAAUCACAAGGAGGCUCAUCUGAGUGUUUAGGCAUAUCACCGUCUUUGUCAUACGAAUCAUAAAGACGUUCAUAUAAGUACUCAUUGUCCUCACACCCUUCAUCAUCGCUCCAUUGGUUUGUCGUGGCUUCACUCGACCAACCUGUUAUGUAGUUCAUUUCAUUGUCCCAAGAAGUUCCUUCAUUAUUAAACCACCUAUAAUAAAAAAAUUUGAGAAACACAAUUAAUGAAUAUAAAAAUUAGUACACUAUCUAGCUCAUUCAUUUUUUGACAAAUCUUAGUUAAAAGUAAUUGAUUUAGUAAAAAGUAUCACCGUUGCAAUCCUUGGCAACAACGCCAACAACUUGACCACCUCCAGACGUACUAACGUCCAUAGUGUGAAUAUUGCAAUAAAAAAGAUAGGAAAUUGAGGCGGGGUCUGCAAGUAUACCGGUCAGGUUGUAAUAUAUUAUGUUUACAACAAAACACUUGGUAAGUAUUUCGAGUAUCAUACCGAAAGGAUUGUAGUUUAGGGAAAACUAUUAUUAAGACAAUUAUCAAAAAUAAUUACUAAUCUACUUGAGUCACAAAUUAGUAGUAUCGAAGUAAGAUGACAAUAUUAUUAACUAACUAAAUAAAUUUAAAAAAACCUAAAUCUACUCCUAAGUUCAUGUAUUGACUUCUCUUAUCCCUUGUUUCGAUUAUGUGAGUUCCUUUAGACCUAGUUGCACCUUUUGACGUACAACUAACCUAAUGAGUCAGCAAGAACUACUUAUCUCUCAACCUCACAAUCCAGACUAUUUCAAGGGUGAGGUGUUAAUGGAUAGACCAUACCAAUUUUGGGUUAAUUCACAUAUAAAUGACUUCCUAGGGUCGUCAAGCCUAGGAUUUAAGUUCUUCCCCUCCCAAACAGCUGACCCACUAAGAAAAUCUAUCCUUAAAUUGAUUAAUUAGGUGAAAACAAUUGAAACAUACGAAAUAUAUAUAAAGCAUAAAUUGAGUCUAAUAUUUACACAAACAUUCAACUAACAAUGUUAAAAAAAGAGAUAAAAAGAAUAGAAUAAGGAAACGAGAUGCUCAUGGAUUUAUUGAUGAAAGCGUGGCUGUAGAAGAAUCUCCACUCGUGAAAGUCUUACUUCGGAAUAGGAUAUUUCGAUUACAAGAACAUAAAAUACCGUAAGUGAAAAUUAGAACUAAAUAAAAACCUAAGAAUAAUUUUGUCUCCCUAAAAUUGUUUGGUUAAAUUAAUUACAAUGGCCUUUAUAUAGGAUGAACUUUGAAUAUUAAAGUGCCCAAAUUAUCCUUGAAGUCCUUAGAGUUUGUCUAGGACAAAUACUCCUAAUUUCCCUAAAAAAGUAAUUAUCUAAUGCAGGGACUUUUUGGGUGUGUAGGGGCAGUGUUGUGACACAAGCUUGCAGUGUUACAACAUCGAAUCCAGUGUCGCGACAUCAAAGGGUCGUGUCGUGACACCGAAGGAAAUUUCGCUCUAGGGCUUUGUUUUUGCUUAUCCCUUCGAUGUUGCAACAUUGGUGUCUUGGAGUUGCAACAUAGGCAUCAAUUUUGACCUGAAUAUGCAUCUUUAGCUGUCCUACAAGACCAUGUAACCUUAUUUAGAUAUAUAAAUUGUAAUAAAACUAAUAAAACACAUAAAUUACUAAUUUAAGCAUAAAAACCUAAAUAUAUACUAAGAUGCUUUGAUUUAACUAUUAAACAAGCUAAAGUUGUGUAAAAAUGAUAUAAACAAUAGUGUAAUUUGUGGCAGAUCAAUUAACUAACUCAAUAUCAUAAUAUAUUUAAAUUUACAUUUUUGACCCUUUAACAACAUUUUACGCUUUUACGCUAAACUUUUACAUUUUCUUCAAUUUAAUCACUAAACUCGAAACUCCAAUUAAAUCACAAAUUCACUCAAAUAAGGCAAUCCAAAUUUUGGUUUAUGUAUAAACAACUCAUUAUUAUCAAUAAAGUAGAAGAAUUUCAUGAUAAAUUUAUUAUUUUAUCAUAUUAGUCCUUAAACUUAAAACUAACUAAAGUCACUUACAAAAUAGUCCUAUCUAACAUCCAAGCUUAAUAAUCCAUGAAACUACAAAAAACAUUACAAAUUCUUCAAUGACAUAAUUUUGAACAUUUAAUAGUUUUACAAAUUAGUCCUCGGGUUAACUAGGUUAAGUUACAACAAUCUUAAAAACAUAAAAAUCACUAAAAAUGUGCUUAGAUUGAUUGGAGAAUAGUAAAUAAAGAAGAUGAAUGAUGUUUUUUCUUUUUGUUUAUUAUUAUUAUUACUUUUAACAUUAAAAUAACAAACAUUUUGAUUAUAAAACUACUUAAUUAAGAUAUAAAAUCGAUCACUAAUAUUAACCUUGGCCUAAUUACCAAUUAGUUUUAGUAGUCAAUUAGGCCUUUUAAACUAAUAAAGAUUGACUUUUGUGACUUUUAUGAUUUAGCCCUUUUAUUUAAUUAACUAUUUAAAAGUAACCACUAUUUCUGACACCACUGAAAAAGGGUUGUUACAAUUCUCCCCUAAAGGAAUUUUUGUCUUAAAAAUCUUACUAAGAAAGAGGUUCGGGUAUUGUAUUUUCAUAGUCUCCUUGGGUUCCCAGACGGCUUACUCGAUACCAUGAUGCUGCCAAAUAACUUUUACCAACGAUAGCAGUUUGUUUCAAAGUUCUUUAACUUCCAAAGCUAAAGUAUUAACUGGUUCUUCACUAUAGGUCAUAUCAGGCUACAAAUCUAUGUCAAUCAGAGAAAUCACAUGGGAAUGAUUUUAUCUAUAUCGUUUCAAGAUUGAGACAUGAAAAACAUUAUGAAUCUUUUCAAGUUUUGUCAAUUAAUGCCAAACGGUAGGCUACUGGACCUAUUCUUUCAAUAACUUUGUAUGGACCAAUAAACCUUUGGGUGAGUCUUCCUUUCUGGCUGAAACAAAGAACCUUCUUCCAAGGUGAAACUUUCAGGAAUAAUUUCUCACAUACCUGAAACUUAAUGUCUUUUGUUUUUAAAUCGACAUACAAUUUCUAACGAUCUGACGCAGCUUUCAAAAAUCCUGAAUAAUCUUGACUUUAUAUUCAGUCUCGCGAAUCAAAUCGGUACCACAAAUCUUUCUAUCACUUAAGUUAGUCCAGUACAAUAGAGUUCUGCAUUUAUGUCCAUAUAAAGCUUCGUAUGGUGCCAUUUUAAUACUUUACUAGUAACUGUUACCAUAAGUAAAUUCAACCAACAUAAUAAACUUUUCCUAGCUACCUUGAAACACAAGUAUACAACACCAGAUCAUAUCUUCAAUACCUGAAUUACUCGCUUUGACUGUCCAUCCAUUUGUGGAUGAAAAGUUGUACUGAAUUGCAGUUUGGCACGCAAAAACUCAUGUAGCUUACCCUAAAACUUACAAGUAAACCUCGGAUCACGAUAAAAAAUAAUAGAUAGCAGAACACCAUGUAAUCUGGCUAUUUCUGAAACAUACAACUCUACCACUUAAUUAAGUGUGUAAUUCGUACAUACGGGUAUAAAAUGUACAGACUUCGUUAACCAAUCAACUAUCACCCAGAUUGCAUCUUUCUUUCUUGGCGUUAAUGGAAACCCCAAUACAAAGUCCAUAGUAACACACUCCCGUUUCCACUCAAGAAUCAUAAUAGGUUGCAACAACCCGGAUGGAACCUAAUGCUCGACUUUUACCUAUUAGCGCACAAAGCAUUUAGAUGCAAAUUCAAAAAUGUCACGUUUCAUUCUUGGGUAGCAAUACAUUUGUUUAAAAUCGCAAUACAUUUUUGUACUUCUCGGGUGUAACGAAUAAACAUUAUUGUUAGCUUUAUUUAAAAUGAUCUGUUUCAACUGUGAAUCAUCAAGUACACAUAACCGGUUAUGGAAAUAUAAACUGCUAUCCGUACCAAUACUAAAAUCAGCUAUCUAACCAUUUUUAACCAUUUUUUGUUUAGCUAGCAAAUCUGGAUCACUAAAUUGUAACUUCCGAAUGUUCUUUAAAAAUAAAGGUUUAACCCUCAACUUAACUAAAAUAGAACCAUCACACUGCAACUAAGGCUGAGCAUUCAUCAAUUGAAGAGCAAAAAGAUAAGCAUUGACAACGACAUUUUCUUUGCCCGGAUGAUUGUUUAUUAUCAAAUUGUAAUCUUUGAGCAACUCUAGCCACCUCCAUUGUCACAGAUUCAACUCAUUUUGUGUCGUUAAAUAUUUCAGACUUUUGUGAUCAGUAUAAACGUGACAUUUCUCCCUGUAUAGAUAACGAUGCCAGAAUUUCAACGCAAAAAACAAUUGUAGCUAACUCAAGAUCAUGCUUCGGGGAAUUAUUUUUAUGAAUUUUAAGCUGUCGAGAAGUAUAUGCAAUAACCUUGCCCUCCUACAUCAAAACACAUCCCAAACCGUUUAAAGAAACAUCAAUGUAAACAACAAAUUCUUUCCCAGAUUUGGGCUGUGUCAACAUUGGUGCCCCAGUCAACAUAUUUUUCAACUGAUCAAAACUUUGUUGAACUUUCUCAGACCAUACAAAGCUAACAUCUUUCUGUAAUAGUUUUGUCGUAGGUAACGUUAUUAUCAAAAAUUUCUUAACAAACCAUCGAUAAUAUCCAGUUAGUCCCAGGAAACUACGUACUUUAUAAAUGUUUCACUAAGGUUUCUAGUUUAAAAUACAAGAAAUCUUGUUCGGAUCAACCUGUAUCCUUUCAGCAGAAAUCACAUGACUGAGAAAUUUUACUUCUUUAAACCAAAUUAUGCGUUUACUAAACUUUGCGUACAAUUUAUUUUCACACAAGGUCUGUAAUAUGAUCCUUAAAUGUUGAUCAUGUUCACAUUCAUUUCUGGAAAAAAUCAGAAUAUCGUCAAUAAAAACAAUAAUGAACCUAUCGAGGUGUAGCUAAAAAACUAGAUUCAUGAGCCAAAAAUGUAUAACCAGAAACUCAUAUUGUCUGUAACGGGUUAUGAACGUUAUUUUCGGCACGUCGACAUCUUUCACUCCCAACUUAUAGUAACCAGAUCUGAGAUCAAUCUUCGAAAACACUGUGAAUCCUUUCAAUUGAUAGAAUAAAUCAUCAAAUACAAAGCAAUGGAUAUUUAUUUUUUAUCGUCAAAUUUUUUAAUUGUCGAUAAGCUAUACAUAACCUCAUUGACGCAUCUUUAUUUUUCACAAACAAAACAGGUGCACCCUAAGGUGAUGUACUUAGUCGACUAAAACCUUUGUCAAUUAAUUCUUGCAAUUAAGCUUUUAGUUCUUUUAAUUCGAUUGGAGCCAUUCAACAUUGAGCAAUCAAAAUCAGAGCAGACCAUGGCAUUAACUGAAUAACAAAUUCAACUUCUCACUGUAGUGGUAAAUACCGCCCGACAACUCCUUAGGAACAAUACCUGUAAGCUCGCAUACUGUCGGGACCUGAUCAACUUUCUUUUCUGAUACUCGAAUAAAUUUCUAUGCUGAAAUCGCUUAAAUUAUAUUUGAAACACAAGUAGAAUUCGUGGAUUCAAUAGAAAUCAAUUAACCAUUCUGACAUAUCAAAUCAAUCUAUUUUUAACGGCAAUUCACAAUAGCAUCAUGAAUAGUCAAUCAAUCCAUUCCUAGGAUAACGUUAAAUUCAUUAAAUGGUAGUAAUAUCAAAUCAGUAGGAAUGUUGUAGCCUUGAAUAUUUAGUGGACACUAUUUGCAUAUCAAGUCUACUACGACAGUCUGGCGUAAUGGGUUUGUUACUUUAAUGACAUAUUUUGUCGACCCAAUUGGUAAAUUCUUUUUGAUUACUAAUGUAGUGCAUACAUAUGAAUGUGUCGAUCUAGGGUCAAGUACAUAGUAACAUCAAAUAUAGAAAAAGUACUAGCAAUAACAUCAAGAGCUGAAGCUCCUUACAUGCAUGAAUUACAUUAGCUCUGGCAGGAGCUCAAUCUUCAGAUUGAUCAGUAGAAUCCUUGGUCCCACUUCUGCUAACUCCUAUGGCACCAUUAUUUCUUGGUCGUCUACCUCUAAUAAAAGUAACAACAGGUUUUGCAUUUUGAUCUCUCUUUGAAUCAGUUCAUUUUGGGUAAUCACUCUUGAAAUGAUCAAGAGAUCCACAAAGAAGGUAAGAUCCAUCUUUCAACCUACACUCACCAAAGUGAUACAAAAAAUAUUGACUAUAUUUUGGUUUGUUUACAUUUUGGACGCUACCUGCACAGAUGACCGAAGGCAUUGGUGAUUUCAUGUUGUUCUUCUUCGAUCAAUCUUUGCCCGAAAACUCAGAUGGUGCUGAGAAAUGACUAUUCAAUUCUUUCAUGUUCUUUAAUGUGAGAGUAGAAAAUGUUCUGGUUGAGUUACUGUAAACUAAAAAAUAUAUAGAAUUUUUCCUAUAUAAUUCAUCACCUUUUUACUUAAAUUUGUUGUUAAAACCAAGUAAUUGUUUAAUAAAUUAAUGAAAUAUGCGACAAUAUGAAAUUAGGACAUGAGAAUUAUUAAAAUGUGAUUUUAUGUUGUAUUCUAUAGUUUUAAUGCAUAAAAUGACUUAUUUUAUAUUAGUUUGAGCAUAUUAUAUUUUUAAGCAAUAAAGUGGGUCAUGCAUGAUUAAAUUAAAUAAUUAAAUAAUAAAAUAUAAAGUUAUAUUUAAUAAUUCAUUUUAAAUAUUUCAUUAAUAAAUUGGAUUUUAAUUAAUUAAGUAAAUUAAUUAAUUUAAGUGGUUAAAAUUAUAUUAUUUGGUCUGCUUAACUAUCUACUAUUUUUGGAUAGGUCUGAGAGUUUUCUUCUAAUUGCAAAACCAUCCAAAUUGGGGACCAAGUCAACCCAAUUUUCGGCUGCACAUGGCUAAUCAUAAAUCAAUUUUUGGUUUAAUUACACAAGGUCCUUGAAGAGUUAAAGAAAUUAGAGAUUUUCCCCAAGAUUUGCUAGUGACCGAGUCUUAGUCCUAAGUUGUGGUGGCACUCAAAUUUACCAAGAAUCAAGCAGAAUCAACCACAUUUCCUCAAUUCAUGGCCAACUAUCCUUGGAAGAAGUUUCAAAAGAUGACACUCCUAUUUUUAGUAAACUAGCUCCCUUGCCUCACCUAUAAAUAAGAUCUCAUUUCUCACUUUUUCAACCAUCCCUCAAUCACCCCGUAAACAUCAUUCUCUCUUUUCUCCAAAUUCUCUUAGUCUUUUCCAUUCCCAUGCUUAGCAUCAUCUCUUCAAAGAGAUUUUAGCAAUUAAGCCUAUUAAAGAACCCUUGGUUAGCCACUUUAGAGAGCCAUCAGCAAAGAAGCAAAGCAAAGGAACGAAGGAGCCUCGUUAGUCAAAGUCUUGGGUGAUAGCCACUCUGAAUUGGGUUUAAUCUUCCUUUUCUUUAAUUUAAUAUAAAGAUGUUUGCUAUGUGUUCUUUGUUCUUAUUUAGAACAAUGUUAACUUAAUUUUAUUUAAGCUAGGAUGAUUGCUUUGAUUAAAUAAUAUUUAUUUGAUUCAUGCUUACAAUGUUUGUGCCUCAAUCGACCAUGUUUUCAAUUAAAAUCAAGUUUGUAUUUCAUUCAUACGUGAUUGAAAUGCACCUGAAUUAGCUGAGUGAUCCUAACCAGACGAUGGCUAAUGGACACAUAAUUGAAAUGUGCAUGCUCAAUUUAGAUCCUGACUCGAUUAAAUUGUAGGUUGCAUAACAACUCUGACCUAGCUCUGUUAUCUACAUAGUUUUUAGAUUGGUGUAAUUAAAUUGUUUCAAACCUGACACAUCCCUGUUACCUCACACGCAUGCUAAGAAACCUUUAGUAAAUAAGGAUCAGUAAAAUGCGUAUUUACUAAGUAAAGGAUUUCGAAAGGACCUAAUACGGUUUCCAAACUCAUGAAAGAUCGAGUUGCCAUGGAAUGUUUUUCGAAUGUUAUUAAGCAUGUUGAUAAUAAAUUGAGUUUAAUUAAAGUAAUUGUCCUAAUUUAUUUAUGUCAUAAUUGUUACAAAUUGUGUUUAAUUUACUAAAAUCUAUUUCAUUCAUAUAGUUUGCAUACUUAUGAUAAUUUGCAUUAGGGAUCAUUGCAUUUAGUUUAAUAUAUUUUAAUCACCACUUUUCAACUAUAUUGUGUUUUUAUUUACCAAAGUGUUAAUAUAAUUUUACAAAUUAAGUGGCUUAGCACAAGUACAAUCCCUUUGGAGACGAUAACUCGAUACUUACUUAUUACUUGAUAACGACUGUGUACACUUGCACAAACCUAUGCGUUACAGUUACGUUUAUGGAAGUCAAGAGCUUUCGUCUCUUUAUCUUUCUUGUGAUUGUAAACUUCUUCCAUUUUCUAAGCUCUAUCAAACAAUACCACAAAUUCUUUGAUUUCUAUAGCACCCAUUAACAACUUAAUUUCAUUGUUUAAACCAUCUCCAAACUAUAUACACAUUUCUUCCUCAGAACAUAAAAUUUCAAUAGCAUAUUUUUUGAGUUGAACAAACUCGCGCUCAUAUUCUACAACUCUUCUAUUACCCUAUUUAAAAUUGAGGAAUUCCUUUUUCUUCUUAUCAGGAUAUCUUUUAGUGAUGUAUUUCUUCUAGAUCUCAGUUUUAAAGAAUUACCAGUUCACUCAUUCCUUAGGUACAACCACAAUUAGAGCUGUCCACCAGUAAAAAGCAUCUUCUUUUAAGAACGGCACAACACAUUUCAAAUAGCCAUCUGGAGGACACAACAACUCAUCCAGAACCCACUAUGUAUGUUCUAACUAGUACUUAGCUCUGGCCAUAUCAUCACCCACCUUACCAUAGAACUCUUCAGCUCCACACUUUCGGACUUUAUCAAUAGAAAUUCUAUGGGUAUUCGGUCAUACAGGGCUUUGAGGACGAGGUGAUAAGGGUUGUCGAGCCGUAGGAUUAGCUCUCAAGUACGUAUUAAACAUAUAUUUCUUUAUAAGGAAAAGGGCAUUGGGAGCCUCUUCUCUAGGCUCUUGAAACUUAGGUACAUUAUGGGAAUUCCCUUGAUCGUUGGCUGCAAUAUUACUCUGAGCAUCACCAAAAUAUAAACAAUUGGAAUCAGUUGAAAUCUUUAAUCUACAAGAAAACAAGUCAAACUGAUCAGGAGUCAUCACACUAUCACAUGUUAUAAAGUGGCAUGUAUUUCUAGACUUAAUACAUGCUAUGUUCAGUCCUGCAAUUGACUAAAAUAUAACUCUGACACCAUUAAAUGUAACACCCAAUCCCUAAUCUAGUUGUCUAACCCAAAAUAUAAGGCAUUACGACAUUAAACCUUGAACAUUUCUCAUAAAAUCAUCUAAAAACAAAUAAAUAAAUCAUUACCAUUAAAUUAUAGACUAUUCAAUCAACUCGGGACCUAAAUCGAGCUUAUGGAACAUUUAAAACAUACCAGAAAUAGUUCUUUAUUAAAAUGAAACUUUUAAAAUUUUUUGAGUAAAAAGUGAAAACGGGACACACCGUGUGGCUAGGUCGCGUGGUAGAGCUCGGCUCGUGUGGCCAAAUUGUGUAAUAAUUUUUGCCCAUGUAACUCAGGGUUAGAUGGGCGUGUCACCAAGCUGUAUAACUCUCCAAAGCUGUGUGGACAAUCCUGCACCAAAAAUUAAAAAGGCCACGUGGUCGUGUCAUGCAACCAUGUGGCAGACCAUGUCCCAUCCUUCUAUGCCCAAAAACACCUUUAAACAUAAGUCAUUUCACAUACCAAAACUUAAACUUCAAGUUAUACAUUAACUAUCAUUCAAACUUAUUAAAAUUGUGCCAAACCAUGUCAAAAUACAUCAAUACACAAUCAACCUAUGUGACUGACCAAUAUGCCCUCAUUGGCACCACAAUUCAAACGUAUACAACAUCCAUUCAACCCAAGCAUAUAUCUCAAGUUAAACUCAAUCGAUCAUCACCUAAAUUCUAGAUACCAAGUGCUAAAGUUCAACCAUUUAAAUGAAAUCAUCAAAUGCCCAUAUAUCUCAUCCUAAUUUCAUACCUUAGCAUAACCAAAUUGACCUUUUCAACUAAACACAAAACAUUCCAAGUUUCCUAUUGACAUAAACAUACAAAAACAACCAUUAAAAGUGCCAUUAAAUACAAUAUCAUUCAGUCACGAUCACAUAUUUCAACCAACCAACAUAUCAAUAAGAUUUGUAUCCAAACAUUCACUAUAAUCUUCAAAAGGUACAACAUAUAACCAUAGUUUUUAUACCAUACAUAACCAAAUCUCUAUUUACAUGCCACUUAUAACCAGGCCAAAAUAAGCAAAUAGUUAUCGAAUGAGUUGCCAAAUAGUGUGAUCUCGAAUAAUGCUCCAAUCGACAAUUAAAGUCUAAUGAUCUACAAAGAAGAAAAUUAACUAAAGUAAGCUUACAUAAAGCUUAGUAAGUUCGUAAAACAAAACAUUGCAUACCCAUUAAUUUAAUUACAAGUCAUACAUAUCUUGAAACGAACAAUCCUUUGUCAUAUUCCAACAUUUGAACUAUCCACAUAAUUGAACUUGGAUGAUUCUUAUCACCAGAAUACAACAUGUUAAAUAAUCAUGUACUUAAAUAUGAAUCAUCAUAUCAUUUUAUUCCAUUUCAUUUUCAUAGUUAACUGAAUUGUCUACAGAACAAUCAUAAAUCAACUUCGGAUACACAAGAGUGUAAUGCUCAUACGAGCUAACAUAAAGACAUUAACAGGUAUACGAUAUUGCUCAGACAAGCUUCAGAGAAUCUGCAACACAUACAGAAUCUCAAGCCAUCAGUACGGUAUCCAUCACCGACACAUAGUACCUAGUAAAAUUAACACUGGCACAAAGUGCCUGCUAUUGAAACACCAGUACAAAGUACCUACUACUAAAAUCACCAGAAUGUAACAUCCAUACUCGACCUGGGCGCCAAGCUGAAUAUUGAGAAGCCACACCUCUGUCUCACUACUUGUUCAUCUAACACAACAUGUUAUUUAUCAUGCAUCUUUUUUUUUCAUCAAUACUAACAUAACAUUAUCAUGAAUUAUAAACCAUACAUUAACUUUUUGUUGGCAAACCGUACCAAGAAUUCAUAAAAUAGAAUAACAUAGGUAUUAAUCAUGCAUUAGGACCAUUUAUCAAAAUUUCCCAAAAAUAUUAUGUAGGUAUCGAUACCGACUUUAUGGUGCCAAUAUUUCCUUUAAGUGGUAUCAAUACCACCUGGAAAAUUGAUACCAAACAAGCAUUCUGUUUUUCACCAAAUUUUGAAACAUUGGUAAAAGAUCGGUACAUUUUACAAGGUAUCGAUAAUUACACCCCGAGUAUCAAUACUUGGGCCAAGGUAUCGAUACCAAAUUGGUAUUCUAACACCCUGGACUUUUAAAAAUACAGAUGUAUCAUUUUAAAAGCCUUAAUAUCAAUACCUCUGCUUCAGGUUACAAAAAUUCAGCAUAUAAGGGAAUUUAAAUCAUUCAAACUUAGUUCCUAAACAUCAUGCUUCAUUGACCUAGUCACAUAAGCACCAAAAUGUCUAAACAAUAAUCCAAGAACAAUGUCCAAGUUCACAAGCUUCCAAACAUACACAAUAUGCAAAUAAUCCCAAAUACGUCUUACCAAAAUCGAUAUAAUGUCUAACACAUUGCCUUUUUAUUCCCUAGAGCUCGAAUAAGCAAAACAAAUACUAUAAUGAAUAAAGAAUAGCUUGGAUCAAUCCCUCGAUGGCCACAUUGCUCGCACCGGGAAUGAAACUACUCUACAAAAGAUAAAAUGGAGUGGGUUUGCUUAACAACCUCAGUGAAUGCGUAGACCAACCACUACGCAAACAAGUCAUGAUGCAUCAACCAAACAACAUACACCAUAUUCCUAAAACGUCAUUAACUAAGUGUCAAAAUUCACAUAUUUAAUCAUAUUUCAUGCAUUCUUUUACACCCUAUUUAUACGAACAUUUAGGCAUACAUAUAUAUAUUCUGGCACUUAUCAAUCACAUAUAAGCACAUAUAAUUACAAACAAUCACAUUUAGUCACAGUGUAUGAUAAUGUGGCUCUUGAGUUUAUGAAACAUAAAGUGGACUCUAUUACCACUCAUUGAAUACACGAAUAUCCAACACACCACACAAUGACUCGUAGAGUCAAACAUAUCUCAUAAGCGAACCAUAUAGCUAACGUUUUCCAGCACACUACAGAUACAUAUCCCAGUGAAUGGAGCUUGACUCACAUUCCCUUAUCUCUCCAAAACUAUCCCUAGGCCUCAACGCCCCACAUAUCAAAACACAUAAAAGUGACAACGCAAAAAUAUCCAUAAUGAGAUCAUAUGUUACUUAUUGAUUAUCCGCACAUAUUCACUGCAUAAUCACGUCAUUAGCACAUUAUACACAAUGUCACAUGGCAUGAAUAACAUUCCCUCAUAUUUACCAUCACAGCAGUCAUCACAACAUGUUCAUAUUUCAUUACAUCAUAAUUCUCUUUAUCAUAAUUUACAAACAUAUUUAUCACAUAUUUAGCAUAGGUAAAAUAAGACUUACACUCAAAAUUUAGAGAAGGGGUUUAGGCUACCUCUAAAUUCCCAAAUACACAACGAAUCAUCUACAAGUAGCGAUUCUAAAACACUCACCGAAAUAUUCACUUUUACCGAAAAACCUAAAGCGUAGACAAGCUUCCCUUUGUCUUUAUGCCUACUCGUUAAAGGUCCUAUCGACUCCGACACUUCAACAAGACAAACCACACAUAUAUUCAAUCAAAAAUUAGUCAUUAACUCACCUCAAAUAGCCACAGAUACAAGCCAAAGCUACAUUCUUUUCUAAUCAAAACCUUUAACACAACAAACUUAAAAUUCGAAUAACUCAGUCUUCACUUAAUAUCUUUACAUGAAACGAAUUCCAUUCAUCUACAUAUUCAUCUAAGACUAAUUGUAAACCUUUAAACUACACAAAACUAUAUGUUUUAAAGUAUCAAAAAUUUUCGACAAGUUUUGGCCCUUACAGCAAAAAUUCAUUAAACCCUGAGAAAUCCUUAACGAAACUUCAAAGUUACUUUAAAAAGCUUUUAAUUAGGUUAAAAAUAAUUGAAAAACACUUUAACACCAAGUUUUUAUCCCCAAAAUUGAAAUUCACUAUUAAACACUUGAUUUUCGGCUUUUAAUCAAAACAUGUAAUUUAACGGCUAAAAAUUUAGUUUCCAAGACCCAAUAACAUUAAAAACUAAUAAUAAUGCGAAUGGUUACCUUUAAUGAGAGGAAUAAUGAGUUUUUGAUGCAAAUCUAGAAACCCGCAAGUAGAGAAGAUGAUGAAAGUGGUGAGAUUUUUUGGUAAUUUCUAGAGGAUUGAAAGAGGUUUAAUGCUAGGAAAUGAUAGAAAAUCAAAGUAUUAAAAUUUUGGAGUAAAAAAUCAAUUGAAAGAGUGAAGAGGAGCAAGAGACGACAACACUAAAGAGAUGGGAAGAAGCAUUCGUGAAAAUAACUGGGAAUGGGGGUUUAUAGAUUGAUUUUGAAAAAUUGGUUUAAUUCAUCAUACAGAAUCACAACUUUUACCAUUUUACAAAUCAAUCUCUUUUCUAAAAUUAAUGAAAUUCAAAACUUUUUUCCCAAAAUUAACUUAACUUUAUGAAAAUCAUUGUCGAAAAUAAUUUCGAGUACCAAACUUACGAAAUUCUGAGCUCAUAAAGGCCAAAAUUCCUAAAAUUUCUCUAAACUCCUAGGCCUUAUUUUGGGGUGUCACAACUUCCCACCACUAAAUGAAAUUUCGUCCUUGAAAUUUACCUGAGCUAAACAAAUAGGGAUACUAAUGUCUCUUCGCUUCCUCGGUUUCCCAAGUAGCCUCUUCCACUUUAUUGUAUUGCCACAAAACUUUAACCAGUGGGACUCUUUUGUUUCGUAACACUUUCACUUCAUGGUCUAAAAUCUCUAUUAGUUCCUCAUAAAAAGUGAUAUUAUGUUGAACCUCAAUCUCCUUUACUGGCACAAUAUGCAAUGGAUCUAAACGAUACUUCUGAAGCAUAGGCACAUGGAAAACAUCAUGGAUUUGCUCAAAUUCUAAUAAUAACUUGAGUUGAUACGCUAUCGGUCCAACCCUAUUGAUAACCUCAUAUCGUUAACAUACCUUGGACUUAACUUGCUCUUCCUACCAAAUCCCAAAACCCUCUUCCAUGGGGAAACUUUCAAGAACACCUUAUCGCCAACUUCAAACUCUACAUAUCUACAUUUCAAAUCCGUAUAUGAUUUCUACCUAUCUACCACUACUUUCAAUCUCUCACAUAUCAACUUUACCUUUCCUUCAGUCUCGUGAACUAAAUCUAGUCCAACGACCCUCUUUUCAUCCAAUUCCAUCCAACACAAAGGAGUACUACACUUCCUACCAUACAACGCCUCAAAAGGUGCCAUGUGAAUACUUGCUUGAAAACUAUUAUUGUAAGUGAACUCUACUAAGGACAGAUAUCGCUCCCAACUACCACUGAACUUAAUCACACAGCUUCGUAACAUAUUUUUAACACUUGAAUUACCCUCUUAGAUUGACCAUCAGUUUGGGGAUGUUAAGUCACUAAUAACUCUUGAAAAAAAGGUACAUUGGAGGCCUCUAAAUAUAAUUAAUUGGUUACAAUUAAGUGAAUACAUUUGCAUUUUUAGAAUAUUUUUAGAACACUGAAUAACAAAGCUUAGUUUGUGAUAUAAUGGUAAUUAUUUGUUACUUUUCAUUUGGGGAAUAAAGGUGUGGUUUUGUGUGAACACAGGUGUAGGAAGAGCAAAAAGAUGAAGAUGGAAAACAAGGGAAGUGAAAUAUUGCCGCGGCAUUUGGUGGAAUUGAUUGCCAACAAAAUUCCAUGGAAAUUCCGAGAAUAUGACUCAGCACUUUAUCCACAUCAUUCUCAGCCAGCUAUGUGUGUACCAAAAAAUCCAACCUGAAAAGUGGAAUGAAAAAAAGUGUGCUAAGGUGGGAUGGAUCUACCCAAUAAAAGGAGAGAGAAGAAGAAAAAGAGGAGAAGAAUUUGUGUGAGAAAGAAGUUGGUGUCAAUAAUCCUCUCUCUGUACAGAGAAAAACUCUAUUGGAAAAUUUCAGAGAAAGAAAGUGUAGCAGCUAUUGAGAGCAGAAUACAGACAUGAAGAACGGGAAGAAACAUCUAUUCUAGAUUCACGUACGAUCGGAAGAUAAAAGAGAAGCUGGAGUGUUGCGAGAAAUCCUACAGUUCUACCUUUAGUUCUUUUGAUUUUUUAGAUUGAAAAAUUGUUUAAAUAUUGAUGAAUGAUUUUAACUUGGUGUUAACUUUUCCAUCCAUGAACUAAAUAUUUUCUGGGUUGGAGUUAUUUGGGUGAAUUUUCUAUCAUCUUUAAUGUUCAUGAGUUGAAAUUGUCUAUGCCACAAUUUCAUUCAAUUUUUACUUAUUCUAAAUAAAUGCAUGCAAGAUCUAGACAUAGUUGAUUGUGUGUUGUGUUCUUUGAGGUAUUUUUAAUUCUAAAAAGGUUAAAUAUACUAGAUUUAGAAUCGUUUGUGGCAAGUAAAUAUUUGACAGAAUAUUUGUAGCACUCUAGAUAUAGAUGUUACGAGUUGUGCAAAGAGAAGAACAUUCAUUACAAUUAUUAAUCCAGAGUUCUGUAGAUGUAUAGUAACUUAGAUUUUUAGCUUAAAAUCUAGCUAUCCAAAUAGGCAAGUUACACUAGUGACUCUCUGAGCAGUUGAUUAGACAAUAUUUUUCCAUGACAUUAUUUUGAUAUGAGCAUUUCAUUUGAAUAAUUUCAGCCGUAUUCAUUCAGCAACAAGAUUACUCUUACUUUUCUCUAUAAUUUGCCAAUACAUUUUAUUUGUCGUAUCAAUUUUUUUUAGCAUUAAAUUACAUUAAUUUAUUAUACCAACAUCUCAUUCAAUUUAAGAAUAUUUCUUGUUAUUUAGUAUAUUUAAUAGGAUUAAAAUAACUUAAUCAAUAUCUUACCAAUUUGCAAUCCCUGUGGAGACGAUACUUACUUAUAACUUUAUUACUUGAAUGACAUGUACACUUGCACAAUUGCAUUAAUUAUUUACACGCAACAAGUUUUUGGCAUCGUUUUUGGGGAUCAGUUGCAUUGGUGAAAAGUUAAUUUUUUAUUAUUCUUGUUAUUUUUGCUAGAAUAGUUAAGGAGUAUUUUAUUUGAUUUUUUAGGUUUGUACUAGUGCAUGGGAAGAAGUAGUCAAAAGGAUAAAGAAUAAUGUUUUGAUCUUAUGAUUGAAAGGACACUAAGGCGAAGAAAAAAAGCAUUAAGAGAAGUAGAGAGGGUUAUACAUUAUCCAAUCAGGGAAGAUCAGGUACUCUAGAAUGAAAGGAAUGUUGAUAUUCCUUAAAUUUUAGAUGAUAAAGAUAGACCCAUCAGAGAACAUGUAGUGCCUACUUUGGGUGGUCUAAGUCUAGGAACUGUUAGGCCACAUAUUCAAGCUCAGCAUUUUGAUUUAAAACCAGUAAUGUUUCAGAUGCUGUAGACAAUAAGACAGUUUAGUGGUUUGCUAACUGAAGAUCCCAGAUUUCACUUGAGACAUUUUCUUGAAGUCAGUGACUCAUUCAGGCAGCAGGGUGUUCUUCAAGACACCUUGAGAUCAAUUUUUUUCCCUUAUUCAUUGCAAGAUCGUGCCAGAUCAUGGGGUGGCAUCUUGGAAUGAACUGAGUGAGAGAUUUCUAAUUUGGUACAAUCCUUCCAACAUGAAUGCCAAGCUGAGGAAUGCCAUUACAUCAUUCAGGCAAUCUGAAGAUGAGACAUUAUACGAAGCAUGGGAGCAUUUCAAGGAAUUAAUUAGAAAAUUCCUGAUGCAUGGUUUUCAGCAUUGGACACAAAUGGAAAUGUUCUAAAAUGGAUUAAAUGCUUAUACGUGAAUGGUGGUGGAUGCAUCUGCUAAUGGGACGUUGCUUUUGAAAUCCUACAAUGAAGCAUAUGAAAUUUUAGAAAGAAUAGCAAAUAAUGAUUAUCAGUACCCCACUACCAAAGUUGGUACUGGUAGAAGAGUUGCUAGAGCAAGAACUUGAUGUAAUUACAUUGUUAAUAGCUCACGUAUCAUCCUUAACAAUUCUGAUUAAAACUCUGAAAAGACCCUCUAUAGUGUAGGAGAUGAAGGUUGGAGAACUAAAAUGCAUAUACUGUGGAGAAGAUCAUGUUUUUGAUGAAUGCCCAUCCAAUCCAGCCUCUGCAUAUUACAUGGUAAAUUUUAAUCGUAGCAACAACAAUCCCUACUCCAACACGUACAAUCCAGGGUGGAAGCAACAUCCAAAUUUCAAAUAGAGAAAUCAGGGAAUGAGGAAUGCCAACAAUGUUAAUAGACAGAAUGUGGCUGGGGUACCACCUGGACACAGUCAACCAAUGUUAUAGAAAAAUAUGCAAUAAAGUUCAUCAUCUUCAACAUCAGCUAUGGAAGCUUUAUUAAAAGAGUAUAUGGCUAAGAAUGAUGCAAUUAUUCAUAGUCAGAUAGCUUUUUUAAGAGCUCUGGAGAAUCAAGUGGGAUAAAUUGCCACUACAUUAAGCUCCAGACAGCGAGGAGUAUUGCCUAGUGACAAAGAAAGUUCUAGAUCUGAAGACAAAGAACAAUGUAAAACAAUAACACAACGGAUUUGCACUCAGGUGCUAGGAGUUGUGAAUGAUGCCUUGUUUGAGGAUGAAAGUUCUGAAGUUCCCAGAAUUGAAACAAACUACAAAAGAUGAGAGUAGAAAAAAACAUAUAGAAGCAUAUUAAUCUUACUGAGCCAAUACAAAUGCCAUGGCAAAGUAACCUCAACAAAUGGAAGGAAGGCCACCGCCACCUUUUUCCUAGUGUUUCCAAAAUUCGAAACAAGGUGCUCAAUUCAAGAAAUUUCUAGAGGUCUUAUAGCAAUUACACAUCAACAUACCAUUGGUGGAAGCAUUAGAGCAAAUUUUUAACUAUGUGAAAUUCAUUAAAGAUAUCCUAUCCCAGAAGAGAAGGUUAGGGGAGUUCAAAACUGUUGCACUUAUUGAAGGGUGCACAACAAUGGUGAAGAAGAAAUUGCCAUCAAAAUUAAAAGUUCCAGGGUGUUUCACUAUACCCUGUUCGAUUGGAAACCAUUAUGUAGGUGAAUCAUUAUGCGAUUUAGGUGCAAAAAUCAAUCUAAUGCAUAUUUCUAUUUUUAGGAAACUUGGGAUAGGAAAGGGAAGACCUACUAUAUUCACACUACAACUAGUUGAUAGAUCAUAUGUCCGUCUAGAAGGUAAAAUUGAAGAUGUACUAGUAAGAGUUGAGAAGUUCAUCUUUCCAGCAGAUUUUAUUAUUCUGGAAUGGGAAGCAGAUAAAGAGGUACCUAUAAUACUUGGAUGACCUUUCCUAGCAAAUGGUCAAACAUUGAUUGAUGUACAGAAAGGUGAUUUAACCAUGACAAUUAAUGAUCAAUAGUUUACUUUUAAUGUGUUUGAUGCUCUAAAGUGUGCAGGCCCAGAUGAAAGAUGCCAUGUUAUAGAAUUUGUUGACAUCGUAAUUUAGGAAGAAUUUGCAGGAAAUAUGCACGACAAUUCUAUUGUAGGCUCUGUCGAAUUAAAUGAAACAAGUUUGACUGAAGAAUCUAAAGAAUUGAUGAAAACUCGACAAUUUGAAAAUGGAAGCAGCAGGAGCUUUGAAUCAUUAUAUUUAUCAAGUAUGCUUAAUUGGGAGAAAACAACACACUGCCUGUAUUUAUUUCUAUCGAGCUUACAACUUAUCAGGAGAUACAGUUACUGCAGGUCGUAAAAAAAAUCCAAGAAAGCUUUAGGAUGGAUAAUUGCGGAUAUCAAAUGAAUAAGCCCAGCAAUCUGCAUGCACAAAAUAAUACUUGAAGAUUACCAUGGCAAAUCUAUUGAACAUCAAAGGAGACUAAAUCCUUCCAUGAAGGAAGUAGUUAAGAAGGAGAUUAUCCAGUAGUUGGAUGCCUGGAUUAUAUACCCAAUUUCGGAUAGCUCUUACGCGAGCCCUGUUCAGUGUGUACCCAAGAAGGGAGGAGUCACAGUAUUCAGCAAUGAUAACAAUAAACUCAUUCCCACAUGUACUGUCACAGGUUGGAGAGUUUGUAUGGAUUAUCGAAAGCUCAACAAAGUAGCGAAGAAGGGUCAUUUCCUUUUACCUUCUAUAGUAUAGUUGAUGGACAGACUAGUAAGGAAAGCCUUCUACUAUUUUUUAAAUGGCUACUCAGGGUACAACCAAAUUGCCAUAUCUCGUACCGAUCAAGAAAAAACCACACUUACCUAUCCUUAUGGAACAUUUGCUUUCAGAAGAAUGCCUUUUGGGUUAUGUAAUGUCCUGACAACAUUCCAGCUUUGCAUUAUGGCAAUGUUUUUUGACAUGGUGGAGAAAUUCCUUGAAGUAUUCAUGGAUGAUUUUUCGGUGUUCGGCAAUAAUUUUAAAGAUUCCUCAAAAAAUUUGGAGUCAAUACUUUGUCGAUGACAAGAAACAAAUCUUGUGGUGAAUUGGGAAAAAUGUCACUUCAUGGUUUUCGAAGGCAUUGUUUUGGGCCAUAAAAUUUCACUGCAAGGAAUUGUAGUCGACAAAUCAAAAAUAAAAGUCAUUGACAAGAUGCCACCACCCAAUUCAGUGAAAGGAAUUAGAAGCUUCCUUAGGCAUGCUACAUUUUACCGUCGCUUCAUCAAGGAUUUUUCUAAGAUAUCAAAACCUCUAUGUCAAUUGUUGGAGCAAAAUAGACCAUUUCAUUUUAAUGAGUUAUGCUCAAAGGCAUUCAAAGAGUUAAAGGAAAGAACAACUAUAGUACCCAUAGUCACUGCAUCAGACUGGACUCUACCAUUUGAACUAAUGUAUGAUGCAAGUGAAUUUGUUGUUGGAGUAGUGCUAGGGAGAAGAAAAACCAUGAUGUUUCAUGCAAUAUAUUAUGCUAGUCACACACUGACAGGUUCACGAUUCAACUAAACCACCACGGAGAAAGAAUUGUUAACAAUGGUGAUUGCCUUUGAAAAAUUUAGAGCCUAUUUAGUAGGUAUCAAGGUCACAGUUUAUAUAGAUCAUUCUGCCAUCAAAUACUUGGUGGCAAAAAAAGAGGCAAAACCUAUACUUAUUAGAUGGAUAUUGUUGUUGUAGGAAUUUGAUUUGGAAUUUAAAGAUAAGAAAGGCACUGAAAAUUAAGUAGCUAAUCACUUGUCACAACUGGAAGCGGGGAAUUAGUAUGGUGAGGAUCAAAUGAUUACAGAAGAAUUCCCUGAUGAGCAGAUAUUGUUGGCUAUGACAUUGCCAUGGGAUGCUGAUAUUAUUAACUUUGUAGUCAGUGGGUUGUUGCCACCUAGCUCCAUUAUCACAGACAAAGGAAAUUCCUUCAUGAUGUCAAGCAAUAUUAUUGGGACAAGUCAUUUCUAUUCAAGUAGUGUGCAGAUCAAGUAAUUCGAAGAUGUAUUAAAAAUGAUAAAUUUCAAAGUAUAUUGCAUCACUGUCAUUCUGCAUCUUAUGGUGGACAUUUUGGAAGCAUGAAAAGUGCUGUAAAAGUUAUCCAAUCUGGUUUUUAUUGGCACACCAUGUUUAAAGAUGCUAAUGAGUUCUGUAAAAACUAUGAUCGCUGUCAAAACACUGGUAACUUAUCAAGAAGACCUGAGAUGCCACUGUAAUACAUUUUAGCGGUAGAUUUACUUGAUGUUUGGGGAAUUGAUUUCAUGGGUCAAUUUCUACCAUCCAAGGGAAAAAUCUAUAAAAACCUAUAUUCUUGUCGCUAUGGAUUAUGUCUCCAAAUGGGUUGAAGCUGUGGCCUUACCAACAAAUGAUGUCAACACUCUGAACUGAUAUUGAGUUAAACAUAAAAUUGUCAUGGCAUAUCAUCCACAAACAAAUGGACAAGUUGAAAUUUCCAACAGAGAAAUCAAUCAGAUUCUGGACAAAAAUUUCAAUCCCAAUCGCAAGGAUUGGUCAAUAUUGUUAGAUGAAGCCUUGUGGGCUUAUCGAACAACUUUCAAGACACCAUUGGGAAUGUCACCUUUCAAGCUUGUCUAUGGUACACCAUGACAUUUGCUAGUUGAGUUAGAGCACAAAGCAUUUUGGAGAAACAAAAAUUAAACAUGGACUAGGGUGCUGCUGCUACUCAUCGCCUACUGGAGCGCAAUGAGAUAGGUGAAUUUUAAGCUCAAGCCUAUGAGUAUGCAGGAUUGUACAAAGAAAAGACAAAGUACUGGCAUGACAAGAAUAUUUUGCCACGGCAAUUUGUACCUAGACAACAAGUCUUUCUUUUUAAUUCCAGAGUUAAACUAUUUUCCUGGCAACUUAAUGUCGAGAUGGUCUGGACCAUUCGAAGUUCAACGUAUAUAUCCUCACAGAGCUAUCGACGUUAAAGAUGGAAAAAUAGGAUCCACUUUUAAAGUCAAUGGUCAACACCUGAAACACUAUUUUGGAGCUCCUAUAAUGUGUGACAAAAAUUUCCUUUUUGUUAUUCACUUAACUUUAUUUUACUUUAUUUUUAUUUUUAUUCACUAAACUCAUUUAAUUUUUCCUUUUUGUUACAAGUUUUACCCUUGGGCCAGAAUAAGUACAGAUUAAGAGAAAAAGAUUUAAGAAGGCUGUUAGUAAAACCAUUCAAUCUGACAUUAAUGACCAGGACAGGCUGCAAUGUUACAAGAAAGCUAUAAAGAAAUCCACCCAACCCAAUUGAAGUAAUUUUUUUCCUCUAUAAGCUUUAAUUUUAUUUAUUAUAUAUUUCAUGAUAAUUCAUUUUUGUUUUUAUCUGUUUUAUGUAUUAAUAUAGUUGUUAUUCAUUUUGUUUUGUCAUAUUCAUGCAUUGAGGAUAAUGCAUCCCUUAGGUCUGGGAGUGUGUUGUGCAUAUAAAUUGCAUUAUUAAUUGUUCAUACAGUUUUUUUUUAUGUUUUUGCCAUAACGUUCAAUUGCCAUUUAACUACCGGAUUAUGUGAGUAUAUGGUUAUCAAUGAGGAUAAUAAUUCUUCUUUGUAAACUUAGAAAAUAGGGUGACAGUUGUUUAGGCAUGUUUAGCACAGGGCAGUUGUUGAAAAUGACUUUCUAAAAGUAGAAUAAUUGAAAUAUAAAUGCAAUUAGGUUAUAGUAGCAUUCUUUGAAUAAAUUUAGGACUUCUUGUCUUAAUUUCAGUAUAGUAAUAGGGUAUAAUUUUUUCAUGGUAUAAUAAUAUGAAUACUCUAAUAUUUCAACCUGUUGAGUAGUUCAGUAAUAUUUUGUUUUCUCCAUUAUAUUAUUGACUAGAAAAAUGAGUUCAAAUAUGAGUAUUUGUCUAAAAAAUAAAUAAAUGUACAUAUUCUAGGGACACUCCACUAAAUCUUGAGGCUAAAUUGCAAAGAAGAUAGUUGUUUGCUCCAUCCAUCUUUUUUGUUAGAAGCUUUGUUUCAUGAGUGAUUCAUAUUCAAAUUCUAACAUGAUAUAAUAUGUGGCAGUCGAGUGUGUGCUCCAUUGAGGUUGUCAAGUAUAUAAUCAAAUGACAAUAUGAAAUCCUUAGGAAAUUGUGUUGAAAAUUGAAUAAUAUGCUAAAAAAAAGAGUUUAGAAAAGAGAUAACCUAAAUAUAUUUUGAAAAAUCUACUAUAGUUUUAAUUGCUAAAACAUUUAGAGAAUUUUACCUUUAGGAACCAUUUUCUACACUGCAUUUGCUAAAUAGGUUUACAAUAAUUAUAAGCAUUUUUUUUUCUGUGUUUCAGUAUAAGGUUGGUGAGAAUAGAGAUACAUAGUAUGCUUAUAACGAUUUGGUAGUAAAAUUUGUGACUGAUUGUUUUGGCAAUUCCAUGCGUUCAUGUAUAUUCAAACAUCAUUUGCUUGAGGACAAGCAAUAAUUCAGGUUUAGGGGUGUGAUAGCUCUUGAAAAGGUUACAUUUAAGGCCUCUAACUAGAAUUAAUUGGUUGUAAUUAAGUGAAUACAUUUUCAUUUUUAGGAUAUUUUUAGAACAUUGUAUAAAAAACCUUAGAUUGUGACAUUGGUCAUCGUUUGUUACUUCUAUCACUUGGGGAAGAAAGUUGAGGUUUUGUGUUAACACAGGUGUAAGCAGAGCAACAAUAAAGUGGGAAAAUAUUGCUGUUGGAAUUACUAGAAUUGAUUGCCAAUAGAAUUGCUAGGGAAAUUUUGGGAAGAUCACUUAGAACUUUAUCCACAUCAUUCUUAGCCAGGUAUUCUGUACAAGAAAAUUGAACCUAAAAAGAGGAAUGAAAAAAGUGUGUUGAGAUGGGAGAGAUCUACCCAAUAAAAGAAGGAAAGAGAAGAAGAAAAAGAAGAGGAGAAUUUGUGUGAGAAAGAGACUUGUGAUAACAAUCCUCUCUCUACACAGAGAAAAUCUCCAUUCGAGAAUUUUAGAGAAAGAAAGCGUAGCAAUUACUGGGAGUAGAAUACAAACGUAAAGAAGGGGAAGAGACAUCUAUUCUUGAUUCACUUACAAUCAAAAGAUAAAAGAGAAGUUGGAGUGUCAUGAGAAAUCCAGCAGUUCUGCCUUUAGUUUUCCUGAUUUUUAUGAUUCAAAAAUUAUUUAAAUGUUGAUGAAUGUUUUUAACUUGGUGUUAACUUUUCCACCCAUGAAGUAAAUCUUUCCUGGGUUGGAGUUAUUUGGGUGAAUUUUCUAUCAUCUUUAAUGUUCAUGACUUGAGAUUGUCUAUGCCACUGUUUUAUUCAAUUUUUUCUUAUUCUAAAUACAUGCAUGCAAGCUCUAGAUAUAGUUGAUUGUGUGUUGUGUUCUUUGAUUUAUUUUUAAUUCCAAAAAGGUUAAAUAUACUAGAUCUAGAAUCGUUUGAGGCAAGCAAAUAUUUGACGAAAUAUUCGUAGCACUCUAGACAUAGAUGUUGUGAGUUGUACAAAGAAGAACAUUGCAGUUAUUAAUCAAGAGUUCUGUAAACGUACAGUAACUAGAUUUUGAGCUUAAAAUCUAGCUAUCGAAAGAGGCAGGUUAUUGGGCCCUUAUUUUCUAAGAUUUCCUCACCAGCACGGGGUACAAUUCCUCGUUGCUGGCACAAUAACAUCAUCAGUGAUGGGAAAACUAAGAUCCCAGUUUACCUUGCAGCGUAGUCAGCUAUUUCUUGGUGAAGUAUUGUACCCACUUUAAUUUUUCGACCCUUGACAAUAGAAUGUAUCAGACACAUUCUGUCUAGGGUGACUAUGGUGCUGUAAGUAGAGGGCUUUAGUCUACAGUUGACAAAGAAAAACCAAAUUUCCAAACUGCUCCCUCGACACACAAGUCUCUCAUCAACAGGUCUCAUUUUUCAUCUGUGAUGUCAUCCAUGAACUCGGAGUGUUCGUUGACAUCAACCUUUGUGUUGUACAGCUCGUUGAUAUUUGUAGCGUCCCAUGGUAUUAAACCUUCUCGAAUGAAAGUAAACUCUAACUCAUGAUCAUAGAGAUUGGUAUAGAAAUCACAUACUAGUGAAGGCGAGUAGCUUCCAAUAUGGCUGUAAAAAGCUUCCCACUUUAACUUCGAGAUGGUUUUGAAGACUUGUUUACCCAAAUCUUGUUGCGGCAAAAGAGAAAUUCCCUGCUCGAGAUCUCAAGUGACCAAUUCCCCAUUUUCUGAAAGUAGAUAGUGGCAUUAGGUUAAUGCUAGCUCCCAAGUCGCAUAAAGCCUUACCCAAAUAAUGAUUUCCAAUUGAACAUGGGAUUGUAAAGCUCCCAAUAUCUUUUAAUUUAGAGGGUAACUUGUUCGUCAAAAUAGUACUACAGCCUUCUUUGAGUGCAAUAGUUUCAAUAUCAGUGAGCUUUUACUUCUUGGACAAUAGGUCUUUCCUAAAUUUCCCAUAACUUGGAAUUUGUACCAGAGCAUCUACUAAAAGAAUCUUGAUCUGCAAUUGCUUCAGUGUGUCCAGGAACUACUGAUACUGCUUUUCAUACUUAUUCUUCCAGAAUCUUUGUGGGAAGGGUAAAGGUAGGGAUAUAUCUGCUUGCACUGACACCUUUGAUUGCGUCGAAUAUUUCGAAAGUUGGAUAGUAGGCAUAUGAGUUACAAUUUGUGGAACUUCUUUGCCUGAUGCAUUGAUAAAUUCUUCAGGUUCAACCUUCUCACUAGUGAUCACUCCAUCCGUAUCUUGAGGUGCUAUAGUAGAGUCGAUAAACGGUUUACUGGUUUGUUUACCAUUCCUAAGAGUGAUAGCCUUAGAAUGUUCUUUCCCCCUCGGACCAGGAUUUUUUGUGUCACUAAGUAAUGAACCUGGUGGUCGAGUAUUCAGAUUUGAAGCAUGUUGUAUUAACGGUGCCUCCAAUGCUCGAAUGGAAGAUGAAUUCGCUUGGACGAUAGCUUCUGUGCGAGUAAUAUGCUCCCGUAUUCAUGCCUCAAGAGUUGCUAACAGGUCAGAAGUAGAAGCUUGAGUGUACAGUUGUUGUCGAUGUCCUUGAAUAUGUUAAUUUGGUAUUGAAGAGUGUUAUGGCUGCAUCAAAUUUUUGUGUGGAUGUGUCUGGUCUUGUUUUGGAUGCAUCUGAGUGUGCUGAUUGUAGUUCUGCUGUUGUUGAUUGUAAUUUCCUUUUCUUGGAUUAUAAUUGCCCUAAGUAGAUGUAUUCUCAUAUCUGAAUGUUGCAAUAUUUUGUCUAGCAUUCUGAGUUCCCUAAAAGGAUUGGUUGCGUGCAGAGUUGUUUUAAGAAUUUCCACAUGAAUUGUUGCAGAUGUUACUAAUAUAACAGGCAUUCUUUGCAUGUUGUGGACAAUCUUCAUAACUAUGGUUGUCACUGCAAAUCUCACAAGAAAAAGUAGGAACAUCAACUUGCUGAGUCACUUGUAUAGGUGCAACGCCACUCAUCCCUUGCAUAUUUUUAAUCAUGUUUGUGGGAGAAGAAACUUGAGCACUUAGUGCGAUUAUUGCAUCCAAUUCAAUAACUCCUGGAGUAGUUUUUUCUUGUGUAGCUCUAGAGACAGGGUAUUGAUAAUCAUUCUAAGCAAUUCUAUCAAGAAUUCUAGUAGCAUUAUUAUAAGUACAAUCCAACAGAGGUCCAUUGGCUGAUGCGUUAACAAGAUUUCUUGUAUGUGAAUUUAGCCCAUUAUAAAAAAUCUCGAUUUACGUUUUUGGUUGAAUGCCGUACAUGGAUCGUCGAAGUAAGGAUUUAUAACGUUCCCAUGUGGUGUGAAGAUUUUUAUCUUUCAGUUGAUGAUAAGCAAUAAUAUCAUUUCAAAGACGAGCAUUCAUUGUCGGUGGGCUAAAUCGCAAAACAAAUUCUGUUGCUAGUGCAUCCCAAGAAGUAAUUGAUCUGGAAGGUAGUCCAAAAAACCAAGUACGUGCUCUUCCCUGUAAGGAAUAAGGAAAUAAUGGCAUCUUCAAGGCAUCAUCAGGAACACCUUGUUGACUAAAGGAAGCACAGAUCAGUAAAAGGGUUUAAGAUGUUCUCUUGCAUCUUCAUGUGGCAGUCCAACAUAUUUUUCAUUAGAAUUCAGCAAUUGAAACAUUACUAGCUUGAGUUUGAAAUUCCCAGCUUGGAUUGCUAGCCUAACAACUCCUGGUUGCAAAUUAUCCAAGACAGGUACUACAAAAUCUCGUAUUGUCCUAUUUUGUAUGCGAGCAUAUUGCGGCAACAAUGGGUUAUUAACAUUUAGCUACUGCAUUAGGGGUGUGGCUGCAUUGUUACCUGGUAGGGUCGUAUUUCUUUGCUCUCGAAGUCUAUUCCAAACAGUCCUUUCAAUUUAUAGAUCAAAAGAGAGAAGAAAGUUUGAAUUUCUUCGGGUCAUAAAACACUUAAAAUGAAGUUAAAUAAAUAGCAACGAAGAAAAGAAUCAGUUAGUGAAUACUAAAUAUUAUAUAAGGAAAAUAAAGUGUAAAAACACACAAAAACAAAAAUAAACAUCAAACAAACGCCAUCCUCGGUAACGUUGCCAAAAACUUAAUCGGUUGUUGAACGUCACAGCAACAAUGUGCAAGUGUACACUGUCGAUGCAAGUAUAGUAGAUUGAUGUGAGUCUGUCGAAUAUCAAUCCCACAGGGAUGGGUGUCUUUUGUCUAUUAAUAUCGGUGCAAUAAAUUGAUAAUAACGAGAUGAAUUGUAAGGAUAGUUGCCGAUGCAAUAACUUGAGAGCAAUAAAAUAAAAUAUGAUAAUGCUAAACUGGGAUCCCCAACAUGAAUCUUCAGUAGAAUACUAAGUGCUCACAAGGUACAAAAGUAUAGGUGAUUGUCGAUGCAAUAAAAUUCAAUGUAUACCUUACUCAGUAUUACUCCUCUAUUUAAUCUCAGACUUCACCAUGCAUAUUAACCUCACCUUCUAGUCAUGGCAUUAUGGCACUAUUAAGAACAAGUGGACUAAAUUCCUCUAAUCCUCACUUAACUUCUGUUGUAAUGCUUGUUGGCUCAAAUUGUCACUGCACUUUCCAGUGUCAGUGACUGCAAUAACACUUCUGUGUUAAAAAUUUCAAACCCCAAGAUUAAACAAUAAAAACAAGCUUAAAUAAGAUAACAAUUCACCAAGAAUUCAUCAGUACUUCCAUACAAUCAUAUAUUAGACAGUAAUCACCAGCAUUUAGAAAGAAAUAAGAAAGAAUCGAAUGGAGAAUACUAUCCCUAGACAACUCGACUAAAUCUCUCUAUUCCCUCUUGUCACACACUUAGGUCUCUUAGUCAGGACCUAGUCUGCAUCUGGUAUUCACGUUGGCUCACCUGUGAGAGGUUUAAGCUUCCAUGGCCGCAAGCUCCGAGGUCUGAUGAUGAAGAUGAAGAUGAAGAUGGAGAAAAAAAACUAAAGAAGACCCCUUUUUCUUUUCAUGUCCAUCUUUUAUGUCCUCCCCACAAUACAUGUGUCAUUUCCCUAAAAUUAUUCUGUCCUUGUUCGUAUAGGUUGGUGUAUAGGUUGGUUAUACUAGACUGGACAGCUCACACAAUUUUGGUUCUUAUCCAAACAGCUGCCAGGUGCGGUGACAAUUCUUAAUGCAAUCUGGAAUUUACCCAUGCAACAACAUUGCAGACACCUGUCAGGUGCGGUGACCAUUCUAGACACAAUCUAAAAUUAACUCAUGCAGCGACAUUAAUGCAAUAAGAUAACAAAAUUAAGGACAAAAUAGGCUAGGAUUCAUUGAGUUAUAAAAUGCAUUUUACUAAACUGAAAAUGCUAAAAUGUAUGCUAAGAAUAACUAAAUGGGAACAAUUUAACCAAUAAGUAGGGGGAAACCUAUGUUCGUUCUCGUGCUAUCAUAUGCUUAGGGGAUAUUUAGCAAAAUUCCACAAAAUUGUCCAUAGGUAUUGAUACUGAUAUCCAGGUAUCAAUAACUUCCUAAAGUGGUAUCGCCACCACUUGAAAAAACCAUACCAAUUGAGCAUUCUAUUUAUCAAUUUAAAAACCCAUCUAUCGAAAAAUAUCGGUACCACAGGAUGAAGUAUCGAUAUUUAUCCCCGAAUAUCAAUACUCGAGCAAAGGUAUCGAUACCAAAUCCCUAUUCUGUUUCCCGUACGUUUUAUCACAGAGGUAUUGAUUUUUAAAGCCCAAUAUCGAUACCGCUGCUACUGGAGCUAAAAAUACAGCAUAGUAAGGCACAUAAUUCAUCUUAAAUAAUUCCUAAACAUCAUGCAUCAUGUACUAAGUUAAAAAAAAUUUCAUACAGCUCAAUCAAUAAUACAAAAUAAGAAAAAUGAUUCCUACCAAAUAUCAUCCUGCUAACAUCAGUAUUCAAUAUUCCUAACAUAAAAAUAACACAAAAUUCUUAUAGGUAAAUCAAAAUGGUAAAACUCAAUAUCUCAAAAUAGUUCUACCCCAUUGCCAAAUUUCCCGAAAUGAAUAAUAAAAUAAUGAAUCACCUACGAAGAAUAACCAGACUUCCUUAGAUCACUCCCUUGAAAUCCACAUCGCCCACUCCAAUGACACUAAUCUGCAAAUGUUGAAAUGAGGGGAUAAGCUUUUAGAAGCACAGUGAAUGCAAGAAUGUCCACAACAUAAACACAUCAUCAUGCAACACAACCAAAAAUUUAUUCACAAGUAGUACAUUCUUAAGUCUAGCAUCAUACAAUACUAAACCAUACAGAGUCUAAAGGUCAUUCUCAUAGCACAUAUAGAUAGUCAUUCAAGCAUAGGACAUAUUCCACACAAUUAUAUAACAUAAGAUAUAAAAUCACUUGGAUUAUGGAACAUGUAGUGAGCUCUAUCAUCACACAUCGGAUACACGGAUCUCCUUAUACAACAUAGACUUGUAGAGUCAAACAUGUCCCAAAAGUAUAGUGUAUAGCUAACACUCUCCUUAUUACCCCUCACAUGUCCCGUUGAAUGGAGCUUGGCUCACAUUUCCUUAUCCCUCCAACAUGUCUCAGAGCCUCAAUGCUCAACACCUCUAUACAUAUAAGUGAGUACUCACAAUCCUGUGCCAUGCCAACUAUAUCUAAUGGUUCCAAGAUCACAAGGCCAAAAUAUCCGGAAGGCAUCACAUAUUACUUAUCGAUUAACCAUGCACUACCAUUGUGUAUUAACAUCACUUGCAAAACACUAGCAUAGUCAUAUAACAUAUAUAUUACACAUUUAUCACAUGUAUAUAAUUGUACUUUACACAAUGAGAACCAUAUCCACAUAUCACAUAUCAUGCAUAUUAUACCGCCAGAAGGCAAGUAUAGUUCAAGAAAACUUACACUCAGAACAUAGAGUAAGGGUUUAGGCUACAUCUAAAUUCCCGAUAACGCAUGACUUGUGUUUACAAGUAGCAAUUCUAUACACUCACCACUUUAUGCUUUUGUCAAAAAUCGAAAGCUCAACUAACGUUUCUCUAGCUCGUAGCAAAUUCUAACAAAUCCAAAGCUUUACACAUAUACAUCACACAAUAACCACAGUCAAAUAUCAACCCAUAAUCUACUCAAACAAACUAAGACACAAGCUUUAAGCUAAGUUCUCAUGUGACUUAAACUAUUAACAUAAUCAACUUUAUAUACUAAUAUCUCGACCUAUACUCAACCUUUUUGCUUAAAAUAAAUUUCGUUCAUCUACUUAAUCAUCUACACCUAAUUCGCAACUUUCAAAAUAGCCAAAUCUACUCAAUUCAUGGUAUCUACAUUUUUUGACAUCUUUUAGGCAAUUUUCAUAAUAUUCAUUAAAAUAGGAGAAAUCAUUAAUGAAAUUCUAAAUAAGUUUAAAAACCUUUCAAUCAUGCUAAAAUGAGUAGAAAAACAUGUUAUAACAAAUUUUUUAUGCAAAACCUCAAAAUCCACCAUUAAUGGCUCGAUUUUUGGCUUUUAUUUCAAACAUACGAUUUGAGGGCUAACAAGUCAGGUUUAGAGUCUAAAUAACAUUAGCAACUUAUGAAUUCAUGAAUGAUUUCCUUUGGUAGAAGAAUGAACAAGCUUUGACAAAAAUUUGGAAACCCCAUGUAUGAAGAAUAUGAUAAAAUAUAUGGAGUUUUUCGGUGUUUUUCUUGAAGGUUUAUGGUACUAAGCGACUUAGGAAUGAUAGAAAAUCAAUACAUUGUGAUUUGGAAUAAAAAAAUUGAUUGAGAAAGCAAGGGAAUAUAAAGGGGUAGCAACUACAACUUUGAAACAACAACUAUCAUGAAUUUUUUUGCUGAAAGUUAGGGUUUUUAGGUUCAAUUUUAAAAACUCGUCUAAUUGCCACAUGAAAGCUCACAGUUUUGACUAUGUUACAAAUCAAUCCUUUUUCAAAAUUAAGGGUUUCUAGAACACUUUUUCAAAAAUUGGUUUCACAGUUAAGAUGCCAUAGUCGAACACACUAUCGAGUACCAACCUUACAAAAUUUGGAGCUCAUACAGACCAAAAUUCCUAAAAUACCCCUAAAACUCCUAGGCCUUAUUUUGGGGUGUUACAAAAUCCACCUCUAAUGGUUGUUUUUCUUGAAUUUGCUACAACAAAGUUGGCCACACUUGAAGUUUAGCACACAAACCACAAUCACGAGCUAAACUCAAGCACGCAAGCAUAGCUCUUAACUCCAUCAUCGACUUCCUACUCAAAGCAUCAGCAACAACAUUCGCCUUGCAGGGGUGAUACUCAAUCACACAACCAUAGUCCUUUAAAAGCUCAAUCCAACGCCUUUGACUUAAAUUUAAAUCUUUUUGGGAGUGGAGGUACUUAAGGCUCUUAUUAUCAGUGUAAAUCACACACUUUUGUCAAUAAAGAUAAUGGCGCCAUAUCUUCAGCACAAACAGCACAGCACUAACUCAAAAUCAUGAGCAGGAUAGUUUUAUUCAUGUGUUUUCAACUGCCUUGAAGCAUAAGCCACAACUUUACCCUCUUGCACCAACACACAACCGAGCCUUGUUUAUGAAGCGUUACUGUAAACCACAAAAUAUUUUUCAUGUUGCAGUUGAAUCAACACAGGUGCCUUCAUCAACACUGCCUUAAGCUAAUUGAAACUCUUCUGCCUUUCACCAGUCUAUUCGAACACCACACUCUUCUAAAGUAUUUUUGUUAAGGGUGUAGCAAUGAGAGAAAACCCUUCAACUAAUCUACGAUAGUAACCAGCUAAACCUAAGAAACUUCGAACUUCCUUAACACUCCUAGGUGGCUUCCAUUCUAAAAUUGCCUCAAUCUUCUUUGGGUCUACACGAAUCCCUUCUGUCGAAGCCACAUGACCUAAGAAUGUCACUUCCUUAAAGCUAAAAUUCACAUUUACUCAACUUCACAAACAACUUUUUAUCCUGAAUAAUUUGUAGAACAACAAUUAAGUGCUCAUCAUGAUGCUCUUCAUAACGAGAAUACACUAAGAUGUCAUCUAUGAAGACAACCAAAAACUAAUCCAAGUAUGAAUAAAAUGAUCGGUUUAUCAAAUCCAUGAAUCGGCAGGGGCAUUAGUUAAUCCAAAUGGCAUCACCAAAAACUCAUAAUGCUUAUACCGAGUCCGAAAAAUAGUUUUCAACACAUCCAACUCCUUUACCUUCAAUUGGUAUUACCCAGACCUUAAAUCAAUAUUUGAGAACAUCAUUGCACCUCGAAACUGAUCAAAGAAGUCAUUAAUUCGAGGAAAGGGAUACUUAUUCUUAAUAGUUAACUUCUUCAACUACCUUUAAUUAAUGCACAUCCUCAAGGUACCAUCCUUCUUCUUCAAAAAUGAAACUGGUGCACCUCAUGGAGAUACACUUGGCCGAAUGAACCCUCUAUUAAGAAACUCUUGCAACUGAAUCUUCAAUUCCUUGAGCUCCUUUGGGCGCAUACGAUAGGGUGCAAUAGACACCGGUGCAAUACCAGGAUAAAGCUCAAUACCAAACUCAACUUCGCGAUCCAGUGGCAAACCAGGCAACUCUUUAGGAAAUACAUCAGGAAAGUCCCUAACAGUACGAAUAUCAUGAUCUCUCAACUCCUUACUAAUUGAACUUAUCACGUAGGCUAAGUAAGCAUCACAACCUAUUCCUAUCAUCUUUUCAGCCUUCAUUGUCAAAACCAUAUUAUACAUAAAACCCGAUCUUUCACCCACAAUAACUAUUUCCAAACCAUCACUAUUCCUUAAAGUAAUUCAUUUCGUAUCAAAUUAUACCUUAGCCUUAUUCUCAAUCAACCAAUAUAUUCCCAAAGUAACAAACUCUAUCAUUACUUCUACCACGACCUUGUCCUCUAGUAGGUGUAAAAACAAGUAUCGAACUCUGAGUCUGCGAAAACUCUACUCUAUUUGGGUAACCCCUCAGAAAAUGUUCCUUUGAACCACACUUAUAGCAGCCACCAGUCAACUUACGACACUCUCCAAGAUGUGUAAAAUCAAAACGAGAACAAAACUGUCAUCUAGAACCACCAACCGAACCACCUGUGCUAUUCACCACAUUGCUCUACUACCUAGACUGACUUAGUCGAGUCCCACGUUUUGCACCUCUACCAGAACUAUAAUUAUCACACCCUCUCUUUGGUGGACAUCCUAAAGCACCAUCAAAAACCCUCUUACUAGUAUCAACCACCAUAGAACGAGUUGGCUCAGCCAAAAUCUCCUCCACAGCCUUGGCUUUUCCAACAAGCACAUUAAACAACUCUGUAUUUUAGGCCAUUAAAUAAACCUAACGAUAAGCCAUAAAAGUAACAUGUUUUUAAUCCUAUUCUUGAUGUGUUUUUGGAUUAUUUAUAAUGUAAAUUAGUGAAUUUGAUGCUCCUAAUCCUUUAAAUCCAUGUUUCUAUACUUAGGUGAGCAUAGGGAAGUGACAAGAGCGAAAAAUCAGCCAAAAUCAGACAAAAAGAGUUGUUUUCAGGAUCCACAUGGCCUAGGCAUUUCCACACGGGCAAGGCACACGCCCGUGUGAGCCACACGAGCUAGCCACACGCCUAUGUGCCAGUCUGUGUCGAUCUCGCGCCCUACUUCUCUUUUAUGCAAAAAACUUAAUUUUUGGGGUUUCUGAGCAUUCUAAAGUUUAUAAAUAUAUAUUAGAAGAGGACCUAAGGGGAUAGACAGAGAAGACUGAAGAAAAGACUCGAAGAACGCCAUCAAAAUCAUCUUAGAAGUGAAUCUCCUUCAAGAUUAAAGACCUCCAUUUAAUUUCUUUAGAAGUUUAUUUGGGUUCUUUAUGUCUUGUUGUUAUCUUAACUUUGAGAUGUUUCUAUUUAGGAUGAUGAACUAAAUUCCGUAAAUACCUAGGGAAGAUAAAACCUAUGAUGAAUCUUAUUAUUUGAUUUUUGAUUCACAUGAUAAAUACUUGAUUCUUGUUCUCAAUUAUGUAUGAUUAUUUCAUGGUUUAGUAAUCUAAGGAUAUUAAUUCAUGUUUAAUGUGCUUUUUUGAGUGGAGAAAAAGUCCUUAUUUAAGAGUAAAUCUAGCAUAAUUGAGUGGAGUUGCAUGCAAUCAUAAAAAUAGGACGACAUAAAUCUAUCGGAUUAGAGUCAAAUCUAAUAUGGGAAUCCAUAGAUCGAGUUAAUGCGACAAUAGUGGUUUUAAUGAGAAAAAGAUUUUAAUUAAUGAACCUAGAGUCAGUUGUUCUUACUCUUGAAAGAGAUAUUAACAUAAUUUAGGGAUUUCUACGAAUCAAGACACAAGUGAAUAAAUCCUUUAAUUCAGAUUUAAAAUAAUAGGUGAAGUCUAGGUGGAUUCUUUCGUGGGUAUUGUCUCUCUCAUGGGUAUCUUCAAUUAUUUUCCUAUUUUAUUCUUUAUUGCUUUCUUAGUUAAAUUAGUUUAGUAAUUUUAGAAUAAAAAAAUCACUCUGAAUUGUUGGCUAAAUAAUAGAAAAACAGUAAUUACUAGUACUUUUAAUCCUCGUGGAUACGAUAUUCCCUAUUGUUCGAUAGGUGCGCUUGCUGGAACGACGGAAAUGUGCAAGUGUACACAAUCACAACAAGUAAUAAAGCAACAAGUAAAUGUCGAGUUAUCGUACCCACUGGGACUGUGAAAAGAAUUAUUUAUGAAUGCUAUUUAAAACACUUUGGUGAAGAAAAAUAUUUUGUUUCAAGAGGGUGAUUAAAAGCUAAGAUUUUAAACUAAAUGAACUAAAUAAAUAAAUCUCAAAUGCACGACUUCAAAAUACGAUUUCGAUCAAGAUGACAUAAUUGUGUUAGAUUAAUUAAAUUUCUUAACUUAGAAUUAUUAAACUCAUGUUUAUAUUGUUAUGAAUAAGUUCACGGAAACUUGGUAAUUUGCUAACUUAUGAACAUUCUCACCUACCAAAAUCCAUUUAUCUCUUCACUAUACCCCUAUGUCAAUUCAACCGAUUAAACAAAUCAUAAUAGGAAAAUAUGUUAUUGCACAUACAUAUUAAAUUAAAAUAAUCCCUUGUAGAUAUCCCUAUGUCAAUUUAAACAAUUAACUCUAUUUAAUAAGCACAUAAAAGACUAUGUGAGGUAACAAAGUAUCCUUACCUUGAAACAGUUUAAUCACUAUAAUCUUGCAAGUUAUGCAAGGCAAAUGUAUUGUCAGAUACCGUUGCUAAUCUAAUCAUCAACUACCUUAGAUGAUUAAACAUGCACUGAUUAAGUACUGUGCCCAUUAAUUACAAUUUCAAUCAAUUUAAAUAAUUAAUUCAUUAGUUAACUAACAAUUGUAAUGCAAGAAUAACGUAGUCAUGAUUUUACUUAAUCAAGCAUCUUACCGAGGCCUAUAACAACAUAAACACAAUUUCAAUAACUUUAACAAACGAAAUGUAAUCAACCUAACACGAAUUAAAUUCAACCUAAAUUGAUUAAAUUAAUCAUUCCAACAACAUAAAUAUUUAUAGAUAUGUUCAGCAUAACAAAAACAUAAAUUAAAGAGAUAGGGAACAAGAAUCAAAUCCGGUGUUUUUCCGUGGCUUGACUAGUUGCUCCGUUCUUCCUUCUCCGUUGUCCUCGUCAACCAAGGCUGCAAUGAAUACUUAAGUGCUACUCCAAAUAGCUGAUGAACGCCCUUUUGCCAACAGGAGAAAUCGGCAAGAGAGCAAGGGAAUUUUGGAAUGGAAAAGAAGAGAGAAACUGGAGAGAAGAGAGAAAAGAUGUAAAUUCUUGCGGUGUGUUUCCCAAAUGACCAGCCUAAGGGGGUUCUUAUAGCUGAGGAGGGCUGCUAAAAAUAGCUGAAAUUAUCAGCUAAAGAGUCGUCCCUUGGCCGGCCACACAUGUGGCAAGGUUGAUAGUUUCAACUUUGCUAAUUUAGGCUUGUGGUAAAUCAAUAAAGCCAACAAUUGUGGAGGGGUUUGAAUGCAACUUGAGCAAGUAUUCAAGGGCCUCUUUGUAAGCUUAAAAAAUUAGCUAAUAAGCUGAUUUGGGUAAACUCUUGGGACGGUUUUUGGGCUGUCCAUUUCUUGGUCGGUUCGGUUUAGUAGAUCUAGUUCAACUGGACCUCUUUUUCAUAAUUAAUUAAUAAUAAUUUAUUAACAUAAAUUAAAUUAGAUAUAAAUUAAAAUUAAUUAUAUUGUGAAUUAAUACAUAUAAUUUUGGACCGUCUUAGGCUGAAAUUUAGUUUUCCUCAAUACUUUAAAUUGCUUCUCGAUUUUGAGCUUCUAGUAGUGUCUGCCGAGCCAUUUUUCGCCAGUUGUGCAAAUCUGUCGAAAAUAACCGAAAUUCAUCAAAAUUAAUUGUAAAAUUAACUAAAAUUCAACAUGUUCACAUUUUAAGUGCAGUUUAAUUAUUUUUUAAAAAUUAAUUAUUUUUCAAUAAGAAUUUUAUUGAAACUGUAUAAUUUUAAGUUAAAAAGGAUAUGUAAAAAUGUGUAAAUUUUAGUGUUUCCACACCCCCAAACUUAAUUCAUUGCUCGUCCCAAGUAAUGCACAAAUUAAAAAGAAUUACUCAAAAAACACAUUUGAAAAUUUCCUUCAGAAUAACAUUCUUCCCGGAAUUAUGAAUUUAAUAUACUUAUGCUCAAAAAUAAGAAAUUUUAUAGUUAUGCUACUUAAGUAUACAUAUCGUUCAAAUUAAUCUCAACAACUAUUAUGAUAGCACAAUUAGACUAAAUGCUUCCUUAACAAGACAUGUUAACCCUUACCAAUUUGAUAUUAUUUCCUUAUUCAAGAUUAAGCUGCAAUCAUUAAGUUUAACUUAUGACUUCAUAUGUUGAACAUAGCAAUUUCUCUCCACUAAUGUAGGUAGCAUAGAAAACUUUAAUCAAUAGGUCUUUAAAAAGGUUGUAACAUAGCUAGGCUAGAGGUAGGUAAAAGAUAGAUAAAUUUAGGCUUUUAAGCCCUACACUCAGCUUCAAUCAGACCUUUAGAAUAAUUUCCCUCAAUACACCAACUUACUUUGCUUUCACAUGCUCCUUUGUACAUCUAUAUUCUUUCAAGUACAUGUGCUUUUUUUUAGCAUUUUACUGUAUGUACUACAAUUUUUAGAGCAUUUGAUACUUCUUUCAACUCCCACAAACUUAUUUUCAAAGAAUAUUCUGAAUAGUACUGAGUCUAGUGUUUGAGACAAUUUAAAGAUAAUUAAGAAAGAAUUGAUGGCUAAAUAUUACAAGGGUUCAAAUAAAAUUAGGCCAUAUAGUCUCAAAGUUGGGUUUCAAAGGAUAAAAUUUCAUCGAGGUUGGCUUGAAAGGCUCAAACGGCCCAAACAAGAGUUGCCUAAAUCAUUUUGAACAUUCCAUGCUUCCUAGGAUUUCACCUUAAGAAACUACUAAGUCAAUUCUAGACACUUAAACUUUCAUGCAUGCCUACCUUUCUUAAGGAACUAAAAAGUUUUAUGGUACGAUUUGCAUGCUUUAUUAAAAAUACAUUUAUAUCAUUAUUCAGCUAACAUAAAAAUUUAUUAAAAUAAUAGAACUUUAUUUAUACUGAAGUUUAGCAUACUUAACAAAAUUUCAAAUUAUUAAACAAAAUAUGUCCUAAUCGUAAUUAAAAGAACUAUAUAUCCUGAGUGGAAAUAAUUUCAAUUUUUCAGUCCCCCUACUUAAAAUGAACAAUGCCCUCAUUGUUUAAAGUGAAUAGAUAUUAUACACCAGAUAGCAUUCUAGAACAGAGGAGGUGAGUCAAUUUGACUGCUUAAGUACCAAGCUCUUUCUAAAUCCAAUCCUAGACAUGUAUAUAUCUAUUGCCACACUUUAUAAUUUGCCACUUGUUCAAUUUUAUUAAUGAUUUUCAUCCCUUGUUUUAUUAUGCAAAAAUUCAUAAUUAUCUUUAUCCUAAAAUAACCUAAGAACAUAAAUAAAAUAAAGUCGAGAUCCCCCUUUAUUUAUUUGCAGAUCCUUCUGAAUUCGACUUAUCUUUUGCUCCAUCAUUAUUGUCUUUGCAUGAAUCUCUUCGCUCCUUUUUCGAUAAUGCGCUCCAUGGUUCAAAAAUGUAAUCUGGAAACUCAGGAACAAAAAUAAAUGAGUCAUUGUAAAUUUUCGUAAGAGCACUUCUCAUUGAGUCAUCCCUUAUUUCUGAGUAUUUCCAGUAGGUUUGUUGCUGCGACUACAUAUGUUGCAUUAUGUCCAUCAAAUUUGAUAGCUUAUCUCGAAGAUCUGGGUGAGGUGGUUGAGCUCUAAACAUUGAAGUCUCGAUAUCAGGUUCAUCGUUUGGUUCCAUUGGUUCCACCUUAUCAGGGACUUCUACCAAUUACACUGGCUUGAUCUAUGUUGGAUCUUUUUCUUCUUUUUUUUUUGGAUCCUCACUUUCUUCAACUAGUUGCUGUAGAACAGAGUCUCCAGCUAUUCGAUAGAGGUCCCAAUCUAUGAUUGUGCCCUGGCAAUAGCCUAUCUUCUUUACGUUUGCAAGAAUUUUAGCUUUCAAGCACAUAAUUAUUAUUGUAAAGGGAAAGUAAGCUAGGCCAGAACGUGAACGUCUAACGACACAAAAUUCCAUAUUUCCCUCAGGAUACUUUUUCCCACAUCAAUGGUCUUCCCAGUUAAAAUUGAGUAUAAUAAGAUCAUUUGCUCUAAUGUGAUUGUAGUCCCAUGUGAGCUAGGCAUAAGGCUGAAUCGGAUGAAGUAUAACCAUACCUUUGCGAGUGGUGUCCAAUAUUCUGUUUGACAAGUGUGGAUUCCUUGCUUUGACACAGUCCACUUAAAACCUGGACCUGUAAGUUCCUUGAGAAUUUUUUACAAAUUUUCGGACUCUAUAUUGCUCAUCAAGGAGGAAUAUUCGUUGUUUUCAAAAUCAGGCAAUUCAAGAGCUCAUUAAUAGUGUUUGAAGUUAUUGGUACCUUGAUUCCGUGAACUGGAACUUCUGUCAACUUGCUUAAGGUUAAAUUCACAUAGAAUUCGCACACUAACUCCUCAUCCACACUAGGUCUCUUCUCACAAAACAACUCCAAAUUGAGAGUUUCAGCAACCUGACGAAUACGCGCUAUAAAAUAAUUAUAGUUGCUUUCUUUCAAUGUGAAACCUUUCUUUGGAUGCAUCUGUUGAUUCGUGAAGAUACUCUCAUAUCUUGCUUUGGCUUAUUCACAGUGGAACUUGUUUUGUGAUUCGUCAAUUUGGGCAAAUGCAUGAGUUCUCUUGUGGGGCAUGAUUAACCUGAUCAUAAGAUGGUAACAAUUAUUUUCUCAAAAAUUUAAUUAAUAUAAAAUAUUAAUAAUCCAGUAAAUUGAAAAAUUAGAUAAUUAAAUUAAAAUUUAGGAGAAAAAUUAGUCUUACCACCUUUUUUGUAAAAAUUAAAAGUUCAUAAGAAAAAUAAUUUGAAUCAAAAGAUGGAAAAUUAAAAUAGGUUGAGGGGAUUUUGUCUAAGGAUGGGUGAAAGGAUGGUGUGCCGCUCAGGUAUGCAAGGUAGCAGCGCGUAGUAGGGGAUGGAUGUGAGCAUCGUGAGAAUCGUUGAGUAGGCCAGCUGUGGGUGAGCGCGUGGUGCUGCUGACCGAUCAGCUAGGCGAUGCUGUGGCUAGGGAAUUGUUAGGAGGUUUCAACACUUAAGGGUUUUGGUGUUUUUGGAGGGAAUGGUGUAUGAAUGAAAAAAAAGAGAAUAGAUGGGUGGAAUUUAUAGUGAAAGGAGUAGGAGCUAGAGUAGAAUUCUUAAAAAUUUUAAGUUCUAAUUCUACUUAAAGUAAAUAACAAUUAAUAAUUAAUAUAAUGCAUAUUAAAUUAUUAUGUGCUAUUAAUUUAUUAAGAUAAAAACUUAUCGAAUAAAAUAUGAUUAAAUUAAAACUAAUUCUAACUCUAAAUAAAGCAGACAAUAAUAAAUAUAUAUUAUAAUGGAUAUAAUUAUAUAUUAAUAAUUUUUUUUCUUUUUUUCUUUUUUUUAUUGAACUAAAAACAUUUAUUUUAGAUGGUUUUUGAAAAUAUUUACAAAAAGAGGCAUCUAAUUUUUAAUAUUUACAAAAAGAGCAACCAAAUUUUUUAAAAAUAAUUCAAUUAAGUUCCUAGACUUAAUGAAAUUUCAAAAUUGAGUUGCAACAUAAAACUUGAUUAAAAUUGACCCUUUUAUUUGAAAAAAUAAAAAUUUUUUUUGUUAUUUAGGGAAUAAUUUCUUGGAAAAUUAUGUUAAAAUCAAUUCCCAAGAAAGAUUGGAGAGGUCACAAGCGAUCCCACUUAAGUUUCAAUCUCCUAGACAGAAUUUAUUUAAACAUGCUAAUCCUAAAAAUAUACUCUAAAUCAUUUAUUCAAACAGAAAAAUAAGAAAAAUUAAAUAUCUGAUAAAAUGAACGAGAUUUGAUUCCGUUUAAUUUUAUCUCCCAAGUAAUGCUUCAAGCAUUGAGCAUUAGCUCAAAAAUUACCUCCCUUACCUUGAAGUUCAACAACUCCGUAUGUAUAGACUCGAUGAAUCAUAAAUGGACUGGACCAACGUGAUUUUAACUUACUUGUAAAGAACCUUAAUCUGGAAUUGAAUAACAAGACUUGCUGGCCUGCUUCAAAUUCUCGAACAUGAAUGUGCUUUUCAUGCCAUUUCUUGAGUCCCUCCUUAAGUAAUUUGGCAUUCUCGUAUGAAGACAUUCGAAAAUUUUCUAACUCAUUAAGUUGAAGCAUUUGUUUCUCUUUGGAACUUUUAAGAUCAAAGUUGAGUCAUUGGAGAGCCCAGUAAGCUUUGUGUUCUAACUCCAAGGGUAGAUGGCAGGCUUUCCCAAAGACUAACCUAUAGGGUGACAUCCUUAAAGGUGUCUUGUAUGCUGUCCUGUAAGCCCAUAUAGCAUCAUACAGUCUUUUGGACCAAUCUCGUUUGUUCGGUCAAACUACCUUCUCAAGUAUGCCUUUGAUCUCCUUGUCUGCCAGUUCAAUUUGCCCAUUCGUCUGCGAAUAGUAAGCUGUAGCGACCUUUUGCUUCACUCCAUGUUUAUCUAAAAUCCAUUUCAACCACUUGUUCAAAAAAUGGGACCCUACAUCACUGAUGACGGCUCUUGGGGUUUCAAACCUUAUGAACACAUGUUUCUACAAAAACUUCAUUACAACCAUAGCAUCGUUUGUCGGAUAUGCCUCUACCUCAACCCACUUAGACACAUAGUAUACUGCUACUAAUAUGUACUUUUGACAAAAAGAUAGAGGGAAAUGAUCGAGAAAGUCAAUACCCCAAACAUCGAAUAAUUCUACCUCAAAUAUGUUUGUUCGAGGCAUCUCAUUUCUAUUGGUGACAUUUUUGACCCUAUGAAAUCGAUCACAACUCUUUACAUGAGCAUAUGCAUCUUUGAAUAGUGUUGGCCAAAAGAAUCCGGCUUGUAAUACCUUGGCUGUAGUACGUGUACCUCUAAAGUGUCCCCCAUUCGGAGCUGAGUGACAAUGGUAUAAAAUCUUAUGUACUUCAUCUUCUUCCACGCAUCUUCUGAUCAUUUGAUCUGUACACUUUUUAAACAAAUACGGUUUUUCCUAGAAAUAGUACUUCACAUUGUGAAGAAAAUUUUUCUUUUGAUGAUAUGUCUUAUCACUCGGCAUCAAACCACAAGCUAAAAGGUUAGCAAUAACAGCAAACCAAGGGGUAUUAUGGACAUGAUUUUAACUUCAGUAUGUGUUCAUCUGGAAACAUCUCUCGAUUUGGUAUAAGAAGAGAGUUCCCUUCUUGCGGCUCCAAUCUGGACAAGUGGUCUGCUACUUGGUUUUCCAGUCCCUUUCGAUCUUGAAUUUCUAGAUCAAACUCUUGAAAUAGAAGUACUGAUCGGAUCAGUCUCGGCAUAGCGUCUUUCUUGGAAAAUAAAUACUUAAUUGUUGAGUGGUUCGUAUAAACAGUCACUUUGGUACCUAUAAGAUAAGAUCGAAACUUGUCAAAAGCAAAUACAAUAACAAGGAACUCUUUUUCUAUUACCGUGUAAUUCAAUUGAGCUACUGUCAGAGUCCGACUGGCAUAGUAGAUAGGCUGAAAAACUUUGUUCCUUCGUUGACCCAUGACAGCUCUGAUUGCGAAGUCACUUGCAUCACACAUCAAUUCAACUGGAAAAUCCCAGUCUGGUGUGACUACUAUGGGUGCCGAGACUAACUGACUCUUCAAAUCGUUGAAAGCUCUUAAGCACUCCUCAUCAAAUUUAAAUGUCGUGUCCUUUUCCAAUAAUUUUAAUAAGGGGUUUAGGAACUUUGGAGAAGUCCUUGAUGAAUCUUCGAUAGAAACCGGCGUGGCCCAAAAAGCUCCUAACACCCUUUACAGAUAUUGGAGGUGGGAGUUUCUCAAUAACAUCUAGCUUUACUUUAUCUACCUCGAUUCCAUGUCUUUUUAUCCGAUGCCCUAGAACAAUACCUUCGCGUACCAUGAAAUGGCAGUUUUCCCAGUUAAGUACAAGGUUUGUUUCUUCGUUUCACCUUAGUACCUUGGCUAGAUUGGCUAGGCAAUCAUCAUAUGUAUCUUUGAAUACUGAAAAAUCAUCCAUAAAAACUUCCAAAUAUUUUUCAACCAUGUCAGUAAAAAUAGACAUCAUACAUCUUUGAAAUGUAGCAGGUGCAUUACAUAAACAAAAUGGCAUGCGCCUAAAUGCAAAUGUACCGUACGGGCAGGUGAAUGUUGUCUUGUGUUGAUCUUCCAGUGCUACUGUAAUCUGAUUAUACCCCGAGUAUCCAUCGAUAAAAUAGUAAUAAUCUCGCCCUGCGAGUCUAUAAAGCACUGGUCCAAAAAUGACAAAGGAAAGUGAUCUUUCCUAGUUUCCUUAUUUAGCUUCCGGUAAUCGAUGCAAAUUCUCCAUCCCGUAACCAUUCUAGUCAAUAUCAACUCGUUAUACUGAUUUUUAAUUACCGUGAUACCUCUUUUCUUUGACACGCACUGGACCGGACUUACCCAUGAACUAUUUGUGAGGGGGUAAAUUAUACCCACAUCUAACCACUUGAUGAUUUCUUUGUUGACUACGUCCUUCAUGAUAGGGUUCAGUCUUCGUUGUCCAUCAAUCGUCCCUUUUUCUCCAUCUUCUAAGAUAAUCUUGUGCAUGCAUAUAGAUGGAAUAAUUUCGUGAAUAUCGAUUAUGGUCCAUCCGAUAGCUUUUUUGAGUUGUUUCAACACUAGGAUGAGUUUCUCUUCUUGCUCAGUUGUUAAUUCUGCUGAAACAAUCACAGGCAAAGUACAAGAGUUACCUAAAUAAACAUAUUUCAAAUGUGAGGGAAGUACCUUCAGUUCUAAUUUAGGUGGUUCCUCGAUUGACACUUUUGUUUGGGCAUAAUCCCUUUUCUCUAACUCCAAAGAUUCAAAGCGAGAUUGCAGAUUAAAACCCCUUUGAGUAGCUUCUAACAAUGCUAAGUAUUCAUCCUCCUCUUCAUCAUUUGGAGGAUCUGAGGUCAAAAUUGGUUCCAAUGGGUCCUCAACAUAAUUGAGUUCCCUCUCCAUGAUUAAAUCCUCUAAAUCAGACACUGCAGAACAAUCAUUAAUUAUGUCAGGAAAUCGCAUGGACUUAAAAAUGUUAAAUGUUACCUGAUCAUACUGAACACGCAUAGUAAGCUAACCUUUCUGCACAUCAAUAAGGUCCUUCCGGUUGCUAAGAAUGGUCUUCCUAGGAUGAUUGGCACCUCUUUGUUUGCUUCAAAGUCUAGAAUCACAAAGUCAGCAAGAAAGAUAAAUUUGUCUACACGUACCAAUACAUCCUUGAUUUUUCCUUCUGGAUAUGCUAAAGAUCGAUCUGCUAAUUGAAGUGUAGCCGUAGUAGGUCUAACUUCACCUAUCCCCAACUUCCUAAAUAUUGACAUGGGCAUCAAGUUGAUACUCGUACCCAAGUCACAUAGUGCAUUACCACAAUAUGUUGCUCCAAUAUUGCAAGGUAUGGUAAAACAUCCAGGAUCCUUCAAUUUUGAGCAUAGUUUGUCUUGAAGAUAUGCACUGCAUUCCUUCGUUAGGGCUACCAUAUCAAAUUCUCCAAGCCUUUGUUUUUUAGACAAGAUAUCUUUCAUGAAUUUUACGUAUUUUGGCAUUUGUUCUAGUGUUUCAACCAACGAGAUGUUGAUAUCAAGUUGCUUGAAUACGUCUAGGAACUUCUUGAAUUGAAUUUCCUACUCCUGCUUCUGAAGUCUUUGAGGGUAGGGUGGUGGAGGUUUCUUUACUAGAACUAGUUGAUUCAUUUUCUGUGGAAAUUAUGCAUCUAACGGAGUUAUUAGUUGAUCAGAAUUAGCUAGUUCAGAAGUUACCUUGUCAGAUUUUACAAAUUCAAUUUCUAGUAAAAUUGGAAUUUCAACACUCGGUUGAACUUCCUUCGAGUCUUGAGCGUCAGCUGGCUCCUUCUCAACUUCAACGGAAUUGGGCUCUAAAGUCUUUUCGCUCCUCAAUGAUAACGCUUUAUAAUGCUCCUUCCCUAGAUUCCUCGGAUUCUCUGUAUCACUAGGCAAAACACCUUGUGGUCGGUUUCUGAGUUCAAUUGCAAGCUGGCCCACUUGAUUCUCUAAAUUACUUAGAGAGGCAUCAUUUUUCGCCAUGUAUGCCUUCAAUAGAUUCUCUAGGCUAUUGGAUGGUUUAGCUUGGGUUGGUUUCUAAGCUUGUUUGGAAAAACUAGGUGGUUAGGACAAUCUAGGUUGGACAUAAUUGUUACUGGUUCCUACCCCUUGGUUACUUUAGAAAAAAUUCGGGUGGUUUCGCCAUGAUGGGCUAUAGAAAUUGGAUUCCAGCCCUUGCCUUCCUCGAUUUUGGUUCUGGUUACCCAUGUAAUACACAAAUUUUGGGUUCGGUGGAUAUUCUUCAAACAAAUGUCCUUCCCCACAAUAAACACAGGCUACAUUUUCAAAUUAAUUCAGUGGCUGUGCUGCAAAACUAUUACACCCAUUAGUAGUAAGAUUUUUUAACAUUAAAGAUAUUGAUGAUACAUGAGAUGCGACUGAAGUAAGAGCGUCUACUUCAUGUAUUCCAGCAACUCAUCUUCCUGACGCUGCUCGAUUGGUUGGCCAUUGAUAACUAUUACUGGAAAUGCUCUCAAUGAUUUCAUAAGCCUCAUUAUAAAAGUUAGAAAGGAGAGCACCAUUAGCAGAAGUGUCCACUACCAUCCUCGUGUGAGCAUUGAGACCAUUAUAAAAUGUCUCAAGUUGUAUGCAACGUGGUAUUCCGUGAUGAGGGCACUUCCAUAAUAAUUCUUUGUACCUUUCCCAUGCCUUAUACAAUGACUCAUCAUCCAUUUUUAGAAAGUAGUGAUCUCGUUCCUCAACUUAGCAUUCUUGCUAGGCGGGAAAUACUUCAUAAGGAAUUUUUCUGCUAACUCUUGCCAUGUUGAAAUUGAGUUUGGUGGUAAUGAGUUCAACCAAGCUCGAGCUCUGUCCCUUAGUGAAUAUGGGAACAACUUCAAUCGUAAUGCAUCUUCGGGCACUCUGGCUAACAUGACUGGCUUCAACUCAAACCGUUGUCCCUCAAUUUCGAGUCUUCUACUACCUGGAUUAAGAUCAUGAAAUAAUGGCACGACAUACUGUCACAAAGAUCUAUCCUUAUCAUCAGUAAUAAGGAUAGGAUUUUUAGCAUGGUUUUCUACGUUUCCUUGAUUCAGAUUUUCAAAGUUCAUCUCUUCAGUCCUUCUCUGACUUGCUUGUCUUCUUUGCUGUCAAAAAGUUCAUUCAAUCUCAGGGUCUAUAGGGAGUAAAUCGAUGAUUUGGUCAAUACUCAUAAACACCUGAAAUAAUCACAGAAAAAUUAACUAAGUUAAAAUUUGAACAGAAAAUAAACCAAAAUACAAAACUGACAACUUCACAAAUAAUGAUUUUUUUAAAACACAGUCCCUAGCAACGGCGCCGAAAUUUUGUAACGAUGGAAAUGUGCAAGUGUACACAAUCACAAAAAGUAAUAAAGUGACAAGUAAAUGACGAGUUAUCAUACCCAUUGGGACUGUGAAAAGAAUUAUUUAUGAAUGCUAUUUAAAACACUUUUGUGAAGAAAAAUAUUUUGUUUGAACAUACUCACCUACCAAAAUCCAUUUAUCUCUUGACUAUAUCCCUAUGUCAAUUCAACCGAUUAAACAAAUCAUAAUAGGCAAAUAUGUUAUUGCACAUACAUACUUAUUAAAUCGAAAUAAUCUCUUGUACAUAUCCCUAUGUCAAUUCAAACAAUUAACUCAAUUUAAUAAGCACAUAAAAGACUAUGUGAGGUAACAAAGUAUCCUUACCUUGAAACAGUUUAAUCACAAUAAUCUUGCAAGUUAUGCAAGGCAAAUGUAUCGUCAGAUACCAUUGCUAAUCUAAUCCUCAGCUACCUUAGGUGACUAAACAUGCACUGAUUAAGUACUGUGUCCAUUAAUUAUAAUUUCAAUCCAUUUAAAUAAUUAAUUCAUUAGUUACCUAACAAUUGUAAUGCAAGAAUAACUUAGUCAUGAUUCUACUUAAUCAAGCAUCUUACCCAGGCCUAUAACAACAUAAACACAAUUUCAAUAAUUCUAACAAACGAAAUUCAAUCAACCUAACAUGAAUUAAAUUCAAGCUAAAUUGAUUAAAUUAACCAUUCCAACAACAUAAAUUUUCAUAGAUAUGUUUAGCAUAACAAAAAUAGAAAUUAAAGAGACAGGGAACAAGAAUCAAAUCUGAUAUUUUUUCGUGGCUUGACUAGUGCUCCAUUCAUCCUUCUCCAUUGUCAUCGUCGACCAAGGCUACUAUGAACACUUAAUUGCUACUCCAAAUAUCUGAUGAAUGCCCCUUUCCCAAGAGAAGAAAUUGGUAAGAGAGCAAGGGAAUUUUGAAACGGAAAGGAAGAGAGAAAGUGGAGAGAAUAGAGGAAUGAUGUGAAUGCUGGAGGUGUGUUUCUAAAAUUAAUAGCCUAAGGGGGUUCUUAUAGCUGAGGAGGGCUGCUAAAAAUAGCUAAAAUUAUCAGCCAAAGAGCCCUCCCUUGGCCGGCCACACAUGUGGCAAGGUUGAUAGUUUCAACUUUGCUAAUUUAGGCUUGUGGCAAAUCUAUAAAACCACCAAUUGUGGAGGGGUUUGAAUGCAACUUGAGCAAGUCUUCAAGGGACUCUUUGCAAGCCUAAAUAAUUAGCUAAUAAAAUGAUUUGGGUCAGCUCUUGGGACGGUUUUUUGGCUGUCCAUUUCUUGGUCGGUUCGGUUUACUCGGUCUAGUUCAACAGGACCUUUUUUUCAUAAUAAUUAAUAAUAAUUUAUUAAACCAAAUUAAAUUGGAUAUAAAUUAAAAUUAAUUAUAUUAUGAAUUAAUACGUAUAAUUUUGGGCCGUCUUAGGCUGAAAUUUAGUUAGUCUCGAUACUUUAAAUUGCUUCUUGAUUUUGUGCUUCUAGUAGUGUCUACCGAGCCAUUUUUCACCUUUUAUGCAAAUCUGUCGAAAAUAACCAAAAUUCAUCAAAAUUAAGUAUAAAAUUAACAAAAAUUAAACAUGUUCAUAUUUUAAGUGCACUUUAAUUAUUUUUUAAAAAUUAAUUAUUUUUUCGACAAUAAUUUUAUCGAAAUUGUAUGACUUUAAGUUAAAAAGGGUAUGUAAAAAUGUCUAAAUUUCCAUGUUUCCACUUGCCUUAGUCGUAUUUAUAGUUAGUUUAGUGAAAAUCAAGUUUUUGGAUCCGUUUCUGGGGACUAAAAUAUUAGGAACACUUGAUUUUUAUUAAUUUAGCCAUUUAUUUUUAUUGCAUUUUAUUGUUGUUUUUAGUUUUAUUUUUGUUUUCUAAUUUUUUUCUUUUAUUUGCUUCUGACAAGUUCUUUUAGUGUAUGACUAGAAGAAACAUGUCAGGACCUUUAGUAUUUGAUAGUGAAAUUGAAAGUACAGCUCGCAGAAACCAUAGAGAAGAAAGGCAAAGUCGACAGAAUAUAGUGGAAGAGCAAGAGGAUGUUAUUAUUGUUACUUAGGAGAUGGAUGAUAAUCAGAAUAAUUAGCUUCCUCCUGUGGUUGCUGCGAAUCCUGCAAAUCCGAAUCAUGUUCCUCGUACUAUGUAUGAUUAUACCUAGUCUAAUCUAACUGGGACUGAAUCAAGUAUUGUGUGACCCACCAUUGCUAUGAAUAAUUUUAAACUGAAGUCGAACACUAUUCAGAUGAUUCAACGGUUGUUCAGUUCGAUGGUUUGCAAGAAGAAGAUCCAAAUACUCAUUUGACUAAUUUCUUGGAAGUCUGCUAUACUUUUAAGAUAAAUGAAAUUUCUGAUGAUGUCAUUCGCCUACGGUUGUUUCCUUGUCAUUGAUUAAUAAAGCUAAACAAUGGUUGAAAUACCUACCACGAGGUUCGAUCACCACAUGGGACCAAAUGACCGAAAAAUUAUUGUUGAAGUACUUUCCACCAACUAAGACAGCUAAGUUGAGGAAUGAUAUCUCUUCCUUCGUGCAGAUAGACUUAGAGAUCCUAUAUGAUGCAUGAGGGAGGUAUAAGGAUUUAUUAAGAUGAUGCCCUCACCAUGGGUUACCUUUAUGGCUACAGGUUCAAACCUUCUACAACGGUUUGAAUCCCUUGACUAGGCAAUUAAUCGAUGCAACAGUCGAUGGUACCUUGAACAAUAAGACACCUAAAGUGCCUUAUGAUAUAGAAGAGAUGUCACUGAAUAAUUAUCAGUGGCAAGUCAUGAGGAAGAAGCCUAAUAGAGUAGUUGGUGUUUUCAAUCUAGAUGCAGUCACCACGUUAUCAAAUCAGGUAGAACAAUUAAAUAAGAAAAUUAACGGUUUAUGUGUUUCUACGCAGGUACAUCUGGUGAUGCAAGACAAUGCAAAUAGAGGAGGAAUAAGUAAUCCAGAAUAUUUGCCCUACGGUCAUAGUACAGAGAACGAACAAAUCAACUAUAUGGGUAAUAAUUCUAGGGCUCAGAAUAAUCCCUACAAUAACACUUAUAAUGCAGGUUGGAGGAACCAUCCCAAUUUCUCUUGGGGUGGUUAAGGAAGUCAAAGACCACAACCCUCUCUAGGCUUCCAACAACCAUCUUACCAGCAAGACAAGAAGUCAAACCUUGAAAAGAUGUUAACGAAGUUUAUCUCAGUGUCAGAAACUCAUUUUCAAAACACUGAGGCAACACUUAAAAAUUAGAAAGCAUCAAUUCAAAGGCUCGAGAACCAAAUCAGUCAACUUGCAACGUUGAUUUCAGAACGACCACAAGGUAGCUUGCCUAGCAACACUAAAACUAACCCAAGAGAGCAGCUUCAUGCAAUUACUAUUCGAGAUGAAGAAGGGUUAGUGAAAUCUGAACCAGAACCGAGGCAAGAAAGUGUGGUAAGUAAAGAUAAGGUUGAGGUGAGCCAAAAUGAACAAAAUCCAAAUGGUAAGAAAUAUAAAUCUCGAGUACCAUAUCCUAACGCGACAAAGAAAGACCACAUGAACGAAAAAUUUGGUAAAUUUCUUAAACUUCUUAAAAAGUUACAUAUUAACUUACCGUUUAUUGAAGCUCUUUCGCAGAUGCCCAAUUCCCUUAAAUUCUUAAAGGAACUUUUGGCAAACAAACGGAAGUUAGAUGAUUCAUCACACGUGGAGCUAAACACAGUUUGCUCAGCAAUUUUGCAAAAUAAGCUACCCAACAAAUUGAAAGAUCUAGAAAGUUUUACUAUUCCUUGUUUAAUUGGUAGUUUAAAUGUGAAUAAUGGUUUAGCUAAUUUAGGGGCUAGUAUUAAUGUCAUGCCCUAUAAAAUGUUUAAACAAUUAGGUCUUGGGAAACCAAAACAAACUAGGAUGAGUAUUCAAUUGGUAGAUAGAACCAUUAGAUUUCCUAGGGGUAUUAUUGAAUAUGUACUUGUGAAAAUUGAUAAAUUCAUAUUCUCUAUUGAUUUUGUUGUUUUAGACAUGGGUGAGGAUAGUGACGUACCUUUAAUUUUAGGACGACCAUUUUUAGCAACUGACAGAACUAUUAUAGAUGUUGGUACAGGUGAAUUAAUACUUCGUGUAGGUGACGAAACGAUUACACUCCAAGCUCGUAAUUCUGUUAAGACAGCUAGUGAUUGAGAUGAUUAUACGAGUUCUGUUAAAUUUAGUAACCUUAUGGCUCAAACUUCUUUGCAGGAAAUCCCUAGGAAAAACGUGAUGGAGCAACAUUUCAGUCCAUGCGACAAAAAUAGAACGACUCAUGAAAAACGAAUGCUACAGAUCGAUGAACUAGAUGAAUGACAGACACAUGUCAAGGAGAAACUGAUAAUACACGAUGCAGAACCAAAGCGAUGCCAUGACGAGCAUAAGGAUGGAACGAACCAAUUUAAGGUUGGGGACCAGGUAUUGUUGGAUAAAACGGACCCUCAAAUUGCCACUUCAAAGCUUAAUGCAAACAGAACAACUCCUUUUACGGUAUUGAAUGUCUUCCCUUAUGGUAUAAUCGAGAUAACUCAUUCUGAAUUCGGCAGUUUUAAGGUAAAUAUAACUCGACUUAAACCUUAUUUUGAUAAUACAAUUGACAGCGAGAAAGAGGAGUUUUGACUCUGCGAACCAUCGUAACAGUGCAAAUACAAGGUAAGUUGAGCUUAAACUCUAAACAAGCUUUUCUUGGGAGGCAACCCGAGUAUUAACACUGCUAAUUCAUUUAUUUUUAUUUUUAAUUCAUGUUAAAUAAUGAUUUUUUGACCCACAUGGCCUGGACACACGGGCGUGCCCUGGGCCGUGUGCACUAAAAGGGGUUCGAUAGUGACUUACACGGCCUGGACACACGGGGGUGUCCUUCACCGUGUGGAUCUUAAGACUUAGUUUUAAAAUUUUAAGAAAAUCAACAAUGAGUUACACGGCUUGGACACACGGCCAUGUCAUUGGCCGUGUGGAUCUUGGGACUUAAUUUUUCCAAAAAAUUAACAGAGGCACGACCUACAACAGUCCACAUAAUUGUGCGACAUGACUGUGUUACCCACACGGCCGGAACAGACGGGCAUGUCCUAAACAAUGUAAAACCUGGAGCUAUUCUUUUCAUCAUUAAAACAAGUCAGAGAGUUACACGGGUGAGGCACACGGCCGUGUGCGGGACACGGCCAGACCACAAAGGCGUGGGGGUUGCUGCAUAGGCUUGUGGGAAGCAAAGGAGCUAGCACACAGCUAUGCGACACGACUGUGUGUGUUACACGACCUGGACACACGGGCGUGUCCGAGGCCGUGUGAAGACUGGGCCCUAAAUUUUAAGACGUAUAAAGGCUAGAAAUGAACCACACGUUUGGCCCAACAUAGGCCUUACACAACCGUGUUCCCUUUUAAAAACCCUAAUCCCAUUUUAUUUUUUUUACUUUACUUUGUCUUCUUCCUCAAAUCCCUAGCCGCCACUCACCCCCAACAACCCCUCUCUCCGAUCACUGUCAUUCUGCACUGCCUCACUUCCUCACUGCACACCUCCGCCCUCACCACUACCCCUCCCCAAGUCGUCCCCUCUCCUCUCUGUUUUUCCUUCUUCUUUCUCCCUUCUGUCUUUCUCUCCUCCCUCACCUCUCCCCCACGCCCUACUAGCACUUCACCCUCGUUCAAACACUAUUGCACCACCGUCCUCUCCCCGUCACCGUCACCUCCAUUGUAACACCCCUUACCCGCAUUCCCGAUCGGAACAGGGUAUGAGGUAUUACUAAAUUUUUAAAAAUUUCGAUAGCAUUUCUGCUUAUUUUUGCUUAAACCUCCUGCAAGUUUUCAAACACAAUUCAAUAUUCCAACCAAGUUCAGUUGUAUAAACAUAUACAAUUUAACCAUUAAUAAACACUACAUUUUAAAUCGAACCAUAACAUAUAUUUACAUGGUGACGCUCCAUUACAUAAGUCGUCUAUACAUGCCAUAAUUUCCGGAAUACUAGUAGCAAAAUACCCAAACGUGGAUGAUAGUGUAGAUGAUUGUCUGACUCCGUCCCAAUUCCGAGUUGAUGGAAAUCACUAUAAUCAAGGGAAAAAUAAAAACGAGUAAGCAUAUAGCUUAGUAAGUAAACAUAUGACAAAUAAAUAAAUUUCUCACAUGACUACACCAUAGUAUAAAUUUAUUCACAAAUAAAUUUCAUUGUUUGUGUAAUUUCCAGCAAGCUGGUUUUCUGCGUCAUGACCACCAAUUUAUUUUUAUCCAGAGCUACAAGGCUCAAAAUUGAAUUUUGUAAAUUUUUCCUGAAACUAGACCCACAUUUAUUUCUAUCAUAAAAUUUUCAGAAUUUUUGGGCGAGCCAAUUACUACAGUUUAUUCUUUAAAUCUUCCCCUGUUUCACUGCCCGACAGUCCUGACCUCCCCUUACAAAAAUUCACAUAACUCUCCGUAAAAGUUUAAAAAAAUGUUUUUGUUUGUUUCUAUUAAAAAUAUACUCAAGAAGGAAUCCAUACAUAUAUAUUUCAAGCCAUAAUUAUUUUUUUAUAAUUUUUGGUGAUUUUCCAAAGUUGGAACAAGAGAUUUCGAAAUCAAUCCAGCCCUGUCUCAGUAAAAUUCAAAUAUCUCCAAAAAUAAAACUCUUUUGCUUGCUCUAUUUCUUUCAUAUGAAAUUAGACUCAUUCAUCUUCAAUUUCAUAUAUUAUUUGACCUCUAAUUCAUUUUCCACCAUUUAUGGUGAUUUUUCAUAGUUGCCCAACUGCUGCCAUUCAAAACAGUUUUGCAUUCAAAUUGUCUCUUUUUGUAUUUUUUAUUUUCCUCCAAUCUUAUACAUGGGUUGAUUAAGUAUCAAACCCAAUAUUCCUCCCAUAAACUUGUCCACCACAUAUAUGAAUAUUCACCUUCCCAAUUUACUCGUUGAACACUAGGAAUGUUAACCGUUAUCGGUGGAUUCCGCACUUAGCAACCACCAAUGAAUCGGGGAAUCAGCACACAGCAACCCCUUGGGGGAAUCAGCACUUAGCAACCCCCUUCACAUUUCAGAUGCGGUGGAAUCAGUACUUAGCAACCACCAAUGAAUAGGGGAAUCAGCACUUAGCAACCCCUCGGGGGAAUCAGCACUUAGCAACCCCCUUUCACAUUUAAAAUACGGUGGAAUCAGCACUUAGCAACCACCAAUGAAUCGGAGUAUCAGCACACAGCAACCCCUUGGGGGAAUCAGCACUUAGCAACCCCCUUUCACAUUUAAAAUAUGGUGGAAUCAGAACUUAGCAACCACCAAUGAAUCGGAGAAUCAACACACAACAACCCCUUUAUAUGCAAUAUGUUCCGGCCUAUUCCGAGUGUUCAACCAAAAACCGUGUUUUGCAACCCCUUACCACCUUUCCCAAUUUAACAACAUUUUUGGAAUCUUGCCAAACAUUUAUUUUAUAUUCAAAUAAAUCUCAACACAUAUCAAAUAAUAUCAAAAUAAUACAUUAAGUCACAUGUUUACUUACCUCGGUGCAAAAUAUUGUAAUUUUGCAAUUCACUCCACUAUCUUUUCUUUUCCUCGUUUGAGAUAAUCUUCCUGUCUCUCUUGAUCUAUAAUAGCAAAUUUAACUCGUUUAAUGUUCACAUUUAUUAAAAUAAUCCUCCACCCAACUUUUUGAAAAUUUACAAUUUUGCCCCAAACUUUUACAUAUUUACACUUUUGUCCCUAAGCUCGGAAAUUAAACUUCACUUAUUCUUAGGUUUUAUGACAUGCUGAACAUUUUUCCCUUCUAUGGAAACAUCAAAUUCUCACUCUAACACAUACUUUUGAACAUUAACUAUUUUUACCGAUUAUGUCAAUUUACCCGUUUUCGUUUAAAAUCGCUUAGCAAAAGUUGUUUAACAUAAUUUCUAGCUUCAUAUUCCACCAUAAAACAGCAAAAUAAACACAUUUCACCUAUGGGUAUUUUCCCAAAAUGAACCCCAACACGAAUUAUUGAUAGAAUAAGCUAAAUUAAGUUACCGGGACUCCAAAAAGGUAAAUAACAUUAAAAACAGGGCUUGGAAUCACUUACUAUUGAGCUUGGAAGCUUAAAAACCCUAACUAUGGCUUCCCCCUUGCUGAUUUCAUUCACCAUGAAGAAGAUGAGCACAUUUUGCCAUCGUUUUCCCUUUUUAAUUCUUUUUAUUACUAAAUGACUAAAAUGCCCCCAUUUAAAAAAAUCUAUUUCACCCAUUUCUUAUGUCUAUUUUUGUCCAUCAAUUAACUAAUGAUCUAAUUACCAUAUAAGGACCCCCAAUUUAUAAUUUCAUAACAAUUAGACACUUCUAACAUGUAGAACUCAACUUUUGCACUUUUUACAAUUUAGUCCUUUUGACUAAAUUGAGUGCCCAAACGUCGAAAUUUUCGAACGAAAUUUUUAUGAAAUUUGUCUGUAAAAUUUUAGACCAUGAAAAUAUAAUAAUAAUCAUAUUUUCUCUCAUCAGAUUUGUGGUCCCGAAACCACUAUUCCGACUAGACCUAGAAUCGGGCUGUUACAUCCAUUCCCUCCGGUCACCACUCACCACCGUUUUCCCUCCUUUCUUUCUUUCUUUAUUUCUUAUUUCUUAUUUCUUAUUUCUUAUUUUCAUUAGUUAUUUUACUUUGUUUAUUUAUUGUUUAUUAUCUAUUAUUUAUUUUUUGUUAUAUUCCUUUCGUUUACUUGUUACUGUUUUUUAUUUUUAUUUUUAUUUAAUCCAUUUUUUAUCCUUCAUGCUCCUAUUUUCAUUUCUUAUUGCAAAUCUUAUUAUGCUUCUUCCUUACUCUAUUAUUUAGAUUUCCUUGCUCACUGUGUCUAUUAUUCGUGUUCUUUGUUCUUAGUAUUUGAAUUGUUUCAUUAUUUAUACUUUUUAUUCUUCGUAUAUUUUAUGUGUUCUUAUUUUUCUUAUUGAUGCUAUUUCAUGUCUAUUGACUACCUGAUAUUAGUAAAUAGUAUUGUCGGAGUUGAUUUUCUAGUCGGGCGAUUUCGAUUUCAAGGCGUGUCUUAGGGUACUUCUUAAUGUCAUCUUUUAAAUUCCACAAUUGUUUUUCAACCUUUUUGUCUAUUUAUUUGAUGAUGAGUAUUUUAUUUUAUUUUCUGAUAGUUAAUUGCUUUCUUGAAGGCACAUCAUGACAAACAUAGGAAACAAGUCCAAGGUCGUCGUCCUCGCUGCGAAAAAGCGAAAGACCCCUAGCACGACCUCUUCCUCGAGCGAUUCUACUGAGGCCCGUCACCCUUAUCUCUGAUUUUUUGCGAGUCCCCAGGAAGACUUAUUCCAGCUCCUUCGAGUGUGACCACUUGGUUUGGGCCAAUGUAUCGACUUGGCCACUUUGGAGCAAGUCCACAUCGAUGAUCUUGUUUGGGCCUUUCUUACCACAGCCCCAUGAGACCAAUUCUUCUCCAUCAUCGAGCCUAGAUUCAUGGAGCUGACUUUGGAGUUUUGCUUGACAUUUCAUCCCCAGCAUGCGAUGACAUCGCAUGACGAACAGGGCACCAUCACUUUCAGACUCGGUGGCCUAGUACACUAUAUGAGUGUACUAGAGUUUGGCAUUGCUUUGGGCCUCUGUACUGUGGAUUUUAUGAGUACCGAGAUAUUCCUCCGCCUACAUCGACACAUCCACUACUCCCCCUCUUGCUGUUGGACAGAUCUUAUGGUGAGUACGAUGCCCUAUGACGCGAUUGACUCGAAGGGGACUUAUAUCCCUCCAACUUUGCAGUACAUACAUGCCCUUUUAGCUCAUACUUUUACUGGCAGGAGAGAGAGCACUGGCAUCGUCAGUAAUACCAAUGCUUACUUUCUAUGGAGCAUGGCCACCGGACAUAUCUUUGACCUGGCCUAUUUCAUUGCACUAGCCUUCUGCCAUCAGACAUAUCGCCAUAGGAAGGACCCUAAUUGUUUACGUCUUUACGUGACUCGACUCGCUCAACACUUCAGUCUCAUCGACACAUCAGAGUAGUCCUCUACACGUACUCUAGUCAGCCAGAUGUCUCCAGAGGAAAUCUCGACCAUGAUCCAUAUGAGGAUGAUAGAGCAACUUCGUGGAGUUGAUCCUCCUCAGUACCAUUUACUUUAUUCUGAUUCUCAAAAUAACCCAGAGGACUUCAUUGAUGAUGUCCUACUAUAUCACGAGGAUCCACCUCAUCCUCUACCUUCGAGUCAUCAUCCUGUUUCUUCUGCUGCCACUUUGACGGACCUCUCCAAGCGUUUCACUCGCUUUGAGACGUAUUGCUUUUAGGCUUUCGAAAGUAUUGAUGUGACUUUACAGCAGAUCUACCGGCAUCUCCAUAUCUCCUCCUCAGCGCCGAUGACUCACGACACCGACACGUCUGAUGAUGAGGACCAUUAAGUCAAUUUAUUUUAUUUUAUUUUAUUUUUUACUUUUAUUUUUUAUUUUUAUGUUUAUUGUAAUUUUCUUAGUCUUAUUUCAUUUUUACUUUUGAACUGUAUUUUUAUUUUUAUGGUUGUUUCUAAUUGAGAUAAUCCAUUAAUCUUUUUCACUAUUUGUAUUUAUUUUCUUAUUAGUUUGCUCGAAAUUGUGCUCUACAUUUAGAUUUGCCUACAAUUCUGCUUUUCACUAUUCCAGGGAUUUCAUCCAAUAUUUAGGCCAGUUUCAGUUUUCUCCCUCUUUUAUGAUAUUCUGUUUAUACUGUCAUUAUCUAUGUUUGUACAUUGAGGACAAUGUACAUCUUAAGUGUGGGGAGGUUAUUUAUAUAAUUAUUAGAAAAUCCCUGAAUUAUGUCUUGUGUUUAAGUAAUUUUCUCAUACUACUAUUGUAACGCUUGAGUUUGUGCAAGUGUACAUAGUUGUUAUCAAGUAAUAAGUAAGUAUCGAGUUAUCGUCUCCACAGGGAUUGUAUUUGUGCUAAGUCACUUAAUUUGUAAAAUUAUAUUCACAAAUUGGUAAAUAAAAAAACACAAUAUCGUUUAGAAGUAGUGAUUAAAAUAUAUUAAACUAAAUGCAAUGAUCCCUAAUAAAAAUUAUCCUAAAUAUGCAAACUAUAAGAAUGAAAUAGAUUUUAGUAAAAUUAAACACAAUUUGCAACAAUUAUAACAUAAAUAAACUAGGAUAGAUACUUUAAUUAAACUCAAUUUAUUAUCAACAUGCUUAAUAACAUUCGGAAAAACAUUCCAUGGCAACUCGAUCUUUCAUGAGUUUGGAAACCACAUUAGGUCCUUUCGGAGUCCUUUCUUAGGAAAUACACAUUUUACUGAUUCUUAUUUACUAAGGGUUUCUUAGCAUUCGUGUGAGGUAACAGGGACGUGUUAGGUUUGAAACAAUUUAAUCACACAAAUCUAAAAACUAUGCAAAUAACAGAGCUUGGUUAGAGUUGUUAUGGAACCUACAAUUUAAUCCGGUUAGGAUCUAAAUUGAGCAUGCACAUUUCAAUUAUGUGUCCAUUAGCCGUCGUCUGGUUAGGAUUGCUUAGCUAAUUCAGGUGCAUUUUGAUCACGUAUGAACGAAAUGCAGACUUGAUUUUAAUUAAAAACACGAUUGAUUAAGGCACAAACAUUAUAAGCAUGAAUCAAAUAAAUAUUAUUUAAUCAAAAUAAUCAUCCUAGCUAAAAUAAAAUUAAGCUAUCAUUGUUGUAAACAAGAACAAAGAACACACAGUAAACAUCUUUAUAUUAAAUUAAAAAAAAGAACAAUUCAGAUUGUCUAUCACCCAAGACUCUGACUGAUGAGGCUCCUUCGCUUUUUUGCUUUGCUCCUUUGCUGAUGGCUCUCAAAGCUGGCCGACCAAGGGUUCUUUAAUAGGCUUAAUUUCUAAAAUCCUUAUGCAAGGAUGAUGAAUGAGAAUGAUAGCUAAAAGAGUUGAGAGAAUGAUGAAUGAGUGAGAGAUGAUGGGAUGAGGGAUGAUUGAUAAAGUGAGAAAUGAGCUCUUACUUAUAGGUGAGUCAAGGGAGGUAGUUUGCUAAAAAUAAGAGUGUCCAUCCUUUGAAACUUCCUCCAAGAGUGGCUGACCAUGAAUUGAGGAAAGGUGGCUGAUUUUUCCUUGAGUUUUGGUCAAUUUGAGUGCCACAACAACUCAGGACUAAGACUCGAUCAUAAGCAAAUCUUCAGGAAAAUCUCCGGUUUCUUUAAAUCUUCAAGGACUUUGUAUAAUUAAACCAAAAAAUGGUUUAUGACAUCCAUGUGCAGCUAAAAGUUGGGUUGACUUGGUCCCCAAUUUGGACGGUUUUGCAAUUCGAAGAAAACUCUCAGACCUGUCCAAAAAUAGUAGAUAGUUUAGAGGACCAAAUAAUAUAAUUUAACCACUUUAAUUAAUCAAUUUACUUGAUUAAUUAAAACCCAAUUUAUUAAUUAAUUAUUAAAAAUGAAUUAUUAAAUAUAAAUUUAUAUUUUAUUAUUUAAUCUAAUCAUCCACGGCCCACUUUAUAGCUUAAAAAUAUAAUAUGCUCAAAUUAAUAUAAAAUAAGCCAUUUUAUGCAUGAAAACUAUAUAAUAAAGUAUAAAAUCACAUUUUAAUAAUUUCUAUGUUCUAAAUUCAUAUUUUCGCAUAUUUCAUUAAUUUAUUAAAUAAUUACUUGGUUUUAACAACAAAUUUAAGUAAAAAGGUAAUGAAUUAUAUAGCAAAAAUCCUAUAUAUUUUUUAGUUUACACACCCCCAAACUUAAAUCAUUGCUCGUCCCAAAUAAUGUUCAUGCACAACACAAGGUCUUGCUAAGGAAAAUUUUGCUAAGAGUGUAAGUAGCAUCAAUCUUUGUCUCAUAAUCAUGCACCAAUAAAUUCAUGCUCAUAGACCUUCUUUAUUAACAAGUAACUCAUAUACAAACAUUUUGAAAAUUUUAUUCUAAGUUUCAAGAUAUGCCAACAUGAAUCAUAGUUUGCAUGUAUGUCACAGCCAUAGAUAAUAUUUUUCAUUCAACACAAUUUCUCAUCAAUCAAGCAAAACAAUCAUAAGGUGUAACGCCUCGAAUUUGGGCCUAGAAGAAAAUAGGUCUAUAGUGUGGGAACACAUAAAAAUUUAUGUGUGCAAGAAAAUGACAUAAAUGAAUGUCUGCUUCAGUGGUUAAGUGAUUUGGGUGUGUUUAGGAGUGUCUGAGAAGUCCUACAAUCAAACCUAGGGUCUAGCAAAAUUUUACUUUUUUCUCUUAAGUAAACCUUGACUCUGGACUGUAGGUCUUAUAAAUGAAUGUGGUAGAUUUACAUCACAAAAAGAGCCUGUGGUGUAGUGGCAAGGUGGCGACACAGGUGUGGCAAGGAGGUGGCGUCACAGGUGUGGUAAGGAGGUCAGAGGUUCAAGUCUCAUUGCAUGCAAAUAAGGUUAUUUAUUUUACUCAUGAGGAGGCAAAAGUUGGUGUUGUAUUUGAACUCUAUGUUGGAGAGUUUGAAUGGGUCAAAUGAGUGAUUUAAUGAGUGGAUCAUGGAGGAAUUUAAGGAGGGGAUCAUGGAGAGGUAAGGGGAGGGAAUCAAGGGAAGUUGGGUAGGUGAAAGUUGGUGCCAAAAUGGGGUAUUUGCUUUUGGAAAUUCGGCUAGUGUGUUAUAGGGAUGCCAUUUUUCUUUUAGUAAUUUCGGCUUUUGGCUUAUUUUGUCUGCUUUUGAAAUAGUGAUGUGGGUAGUGGGCCGAUUUUACUCUAGCCAUUCCUUUCAUUUUAGUUCUUUUCGCCUUUUGCCAAAAUCGAUCAAUACCCCUAUCGAGCAAUACCCCUUUUCUCUGUUAUUUUUCUUUUCAAUAAUUGCUACUUGUGUUGAUUCUCCCUUUAUUCUCCUCCUCUUGGCACUUUUCUACUCUUCUUGUUUCUCAAAUUGACCGAACCAAUCCCUUCUCUUCCUCCAAUCUUACUCAUUCAAAGUUUUUCUUCUCACUUACUUAAAAUUGAAUUCUCAUUCUCUUUAUUUCUUUUUCUGCAACUUUUCAUCUCUAUCAACCUUGAAUAUUCUUUCUUAAUCUAGAAUUAAGCUGAAUAUUAGUUAUCUUUUCUUCUUCAUCUGUUCUGAUUUGGUAGACAUUUGAUUGUUGUUCGUGACUGAUUCUCUUCCUUCCCAUCUGCUUUAAUCCGCGUCGUCAAGGUUUGUUGGUUCUGUGGCCGAACGCUAGUUCUCUUGUUGGCCGUGUGUUUUCCUUAGGUUAGUAUUUGAUUAACCUUGGUUUUUGGAUAUUGAUUCUUAAUAAUGGUUGUGGUACAGAUAAACCACAGGGAGGUGAGAUCGUUUCAUAAUCAUACGGCUUAGGAAGUAUAAGUCGAUUUAGUUAAGGUAGGUAUUAAUCUUGGGUUCGGCUUUUGUAUUAGAAAGGCUUGUUAAAUCUUAUUAAUGAAAUGGCUAACCGAGUACCUUAAUCGAAUAUAGGUUCUACACUCAUGGGCUACUGCGUUUUUCUUCAACAAGGUGUGUACGCACACCAUUCCAAUUGUAGAUAGGCAAAUGCUGAAAUCCCAAAAUGCCAAAAAGCCAAAAGUAAAGCUACGGCUAUCACAUAAGCGCAUGAACGCACGUGUGGAUAAGUCGAUACAAUGAUAGAGGUCACCACAAGCGAUCUCGUGGUCUUAAGCCAUUUUUGGGCCAAAUAGAUCGAAAUGGGCUAAGUGGGCCCAAUGGACCAUGGGCCCUACGCGAUUAAAAUUUUCUUGGAUUGAUAAGAAAUAAUGAGUUGGCCAUGACAAUCGCAUGGCCAAGGGCAGUCUUAGGCUUAGUGGGCCACACAAACAUAUGGGCCCACUUAGGCCCAUUUAGACCAUUAUGACCAAGCCGCAAUCUAUCGUGAUCCCGACCUCUACGUAAUCCACCCAAUUGAUUAUGAACGGAAGGAAUCCCUAAAACAGUUUUGAAAAGAAUUUUCUUUGACGGCUGCUAGACCCAAGAACGGGAUUCUUAUAUAUCUUUUUUAGGGUUUCUAUAAAAUUAAUUAAAUAUAAUAAUAUUUUAAACCGAAAAUUAUAAUUACAUUAAUUAUAAUAUAAUUUCGGUAAACCAUAUAUUUAUUUGAAUUUAUAUGCUAACCAAAUUCAUGUUCUCAUAAUGCGUACAACAACCUUGUAUAUAAUGUGUUCGAUAUUUGAUUACCCAAUUAAAUUAAUUUUAUAAUUAAUUUAAUUCAAGUGACAACCAAACACAAUGCCAACUAUGUUUUGUUCCCUUCAUUUCAACUAUAGGGUGUGACCCUGUAGGUUCCUGUAACGUGAACAGUAAUAAUAGAACGAUUCCAAUGUUACAAACAAUGAAUGGCAUCUAGCAAUGCAUCAUUGCUACCUAAGUCACAAGAAAUCAUGAUUCGAUAUAACCUAUGAUUAACCUUUUAUGCAAUAAUCCUUAAGUCAUUUAUCUCUGGAUUGGACACAAGUCAUGGAAUAGUCACACUUGCAUAGUCCAUUCCAUGUUCCUUGAUAUCUUAAGCAGACUACGAUAUACAAAUAAGUAUGACAUCUCAUAUCAACUUAUUUGAGCAAUGCCAUGCAUUUCUAGUCUCACUCAAUCAAGUGCCUUAAGAUAUUACUCCCAUUAUGUAGGAGGGGCUUAUCCUAUCUCGAUCAACCAUAUUCCUCUAUGUAGAUCGUGGUAUAUCCAACAUCAGCCUUUAUAGAACAAACAGUUACGAUGUACGUUUGACUGUAUCAAAAUAUACAACUCACGAUGUUGGGAUUAUGUUGAUCUCAAGUCUGAUGAUCAUAUACAUAUUAAUCACUAUGAGUAAUGUUGUGACAAUUACAUAAUAAUCCAAGAAACAUACUCAUAACUGGUCAUUCCAAUAUGUUGUUCUCUAAUACACAUAUUCAUGCAUCGAUUCUGACAUUCCAUGUAAUGACAACUCUUUAUCAUUAACCAACUACAUGUUAGUCUUAAUGCAUUAUCGUUGUCCUAUCCAACAAUAAUACUUGACUAAGGAACUUUUAAGAAUAAUCAUAUUAUUCUUAGGACAUUAUUAUAAAACAGUUUAUUUAUAAUCACAAAAAAGAAACUGAAAUAAUAAUGGUAACACCUUAUAUUAAUAAACAUGAUAAAUAAAGUAUGUUAUUACAACCAUCUCAUGAUUGAUCUUUGGGCAUACUCUAACAAUCUCCCACUAGCACUAAGACCAAUCACCUAUAUAUCUAAUACCAAGCGACUUAGUGUGACGAUCAUGCUUCUGCUGUGUUAGAGGCUUGGUCAGGGGAUCAGUAAUGUUAUCAUAAGUAGGUACUCUGCAUAUCUCUACAUCCCCUCGAUCGAUAAUCUCUCGAAUAAGAUGGUAGCUCCUAAAUAUAUGUUUGGAUCGCUGGUGAGAUCUAGGUUCUUUAGCUUGUGCAAUGUCUCCAUUGUUAUCACAUCGGAGUUCUAUAGCAUCUGAUAUGCUAGGCACAACCCCUAGUUCAGUAAUGAACUUUUUGAUCCAAACUGUUUCUUUUGCUGCCUCACUGGCUGCAAUAUACUCGGCCUCCGUUGUAGAAUCGGCUACUGUACUUUGCUUUGAACUCUUUCAGCUUACAGCACCACCAUUAAGGCAAAACACAAAACCUGAUUGUGAUCGAGAAUCGUCCUUAUCAGUUUGGAAGCUAGCAUCAGUGUAACUCUUCCUCUCCUCUAUAUAUUAGGAAAGUAUCCUUAGUUCUUCUCAAGUACUUAAAGAUAUUCUUAAUUGUGGUCUAGUGACCUUCACUGGGAUCUAGUUGGUAUCUGCUCGUCAUACUUAAGGCAUAUGAGACAUCUGGACUUGUACAUAACAUGGCAUACAUGAUAGAUCCAAUAGCGGAAGCAUAUGGAAUUUUACUCAUGCGUUCUCUCUCUUGUGGAGUUGAAGGACACAUUUCCUUCGAGAGUGAAAUACCAUGUCUCAAAGGUAGGAAUUCUCUCUUAGAUUUUUCCAUACUGAACAUUUUCAGUGCUUUAUCUAUUUAUGUACUUUGGCUUAGACCUAGUAGUCGUCUUGAUCUAUCUCUAUAGAUCUUUACUCCUAAGAUGUAAAUGGCUUCGCCCAGGUCCUUCAUAGAAAAACAACUUCCUAACCAAGUAUUAAUAGACUGCAAGGUAGGUACGUCAUUUCCUAUGAUAGGUAUGUCAUCCACAUACUGUACCAAGAAUAUUAUAGUGCUCCCACUAACUUUCUUGUAAACACAUGGCUCAUCUUCAUCUUUGAUAAAACCAAACUCAUUUAUUGCAUCAUUAAAACGAAGAUUCCAACUUCGAGAAGCUUGCUUUAAUCCAUAAAUGGAUCUUUGUAGCUCACAUACCUUUCCAUCAUCCUUUGGAUUGGCAACACCUUCAGGUUGUGUGAUGUACACAUCCUCUUCAAGUUUCCCAUUAAGGAAAGUUGUUUUGACGUUCGUCUGCCAAAUUUCAUAGUCAUAAAAUGCAGCUAUAGCGAGCAAGAUCCUGAUGGAUUUAAACAUAGCUACAGGAGAAAAGGUUUCAUCAUAGUCAACACCAUGAACUUGGCGAAAACCUUUAGCGACUAAUCGCCCCUUGUAUCUUUAUACAUUACCAUCCAUGUCGGUCUUUUUUUUUUUAAAACCCACUUGCACCCUAUGGGUUUAACCCCUUCCGGUGGGUCAACCAAAGUCCAUACUUGGUUUUCAUACCUGGAAUCCAUCUCAGUCAUCAAGUUCAAUCUUUUUCCCACUCCCUUUUCUAGAAACAAAUUCUCUCUCUAGGAAGACACCAGUUCGAGCAACAAGUAUUUUGUUCUUAGUGGGAUUAAAGAAAUAAUAUCCUUUGGUUUCUUUUGGAUACCCCACAGAAACACAUUUUUCAGAUUUGGGUUCAAGCUUAGUAGAUGUCUGACGUUUAACAUAAACUUCGCAACCCUAAAUUUUUAUAAAAUACAUACUGGGACGUUUCCCAGUCCACAUCUCAUAUGGCAUCUUUUGAACCUAUUUAGAUGGAACACGAUUUAGUGUGAAAGCAACUGUCUCAAGUGCAUGCAUGACUCAUCAUGGAUCGAACCAUGUCUAACAAAGUUCGAUUUCUUCUCUCAGAAACUCCAUUCCAUUAAGGAGUACCAGGAGGAGUAAGUUGUUAGACAAUCCCACAUUGCUUCAAAAGAUCAUCAAACUCUAAGCUCAUAUACUCCCCACCUCGAUCAGAUUGAAGUGUCUUGAUAGUUUUUACUAGUUGAUUUUGUACUUCAUUUUUGAAUUCCUUAAACUUUUUAAGGGAUUCAGACUUAUGGCGCAUGAUAUAGACAUACCCAUAUAUACUGAAAUCAUCAGUGAAAGUAAUGAAGUAGUGAAAUCCUCCUCUAGCUUGUGUAUUUAUUGGCCCACAUACAUCAGAAUGUAUUAGGCCCAAUAAAUCACUAGCUCGUUCACUUUUACCAAUAAAAGGAGAUUUAGCCAUUUUUCCCAAUAAGCAAGAUUCACAUACUUCAAAUUGUUCAAAAACAAAUGAAUCCAAGAGACCAUCCUUAUGUAGCUUGGAUAUGCGUUCCUCACUUAUGUGGCCCAAACGACAAUGCCAUAGAUAAGUUUGAUUUGAGUCAUUUAUUUUUGAUCUUUCACUUCUUCAUCGACCACAAUUGGGUUUUCAAGAUUAGUCUUUAACGAUCUAGUUCUUUUGGGAGACAUGGUAUUUUCCCAAAAGUUCAAUAGAGUUUUUGUACAAGAGAGAAAAUAGAAAUGGACAAAGUUGGUAUAACUUGCUACGGUAAAAAUCUUGCGACAGCAAUGAUGGUGCGGUCUUGAUCUCUUUGUAGCAGCAAUAGGGAAUUUCAACAAAAAGAAAGAAAAGGACUAGGGUUACUUUCGAGAUUUGAGGUUGAUGGCACAAAAGAAGAAAUUUAGGGAUUUUUAGGGUGAAAGCAAAUUUCUUUGGAGGAUAUGAAAAUUAGUAGAAUGAAGAGGGUUUUAUUAGGGAAAAUUAGGGCAACAUUUACAAAAAAUUUAGCUGCAUUAAAGUUACUUGGGCGGCAGGUAAUGGGUAUGACGGCAAGGCCUAAUUUUUUUUCCCUCCUUUUUGCUGUCUUGGGCCUCAAACUCAGACUGUAUCUUAAAAAAACUGAUUAGUACUUGGGCCAAAUUUGACCCCUUUUAUUAACUUAAAAAUUUAAAAUUUAAACUGAACAAAAUGAAACUUAAAAAUUUUAAUUAGAAAAUUCUUCUUAACAAAUUACAUUAAAUUAAUUCCCAAGAAAGGUUGGAGGGGUCACAACGAUCUCGCUUAAGUUCCAAUCUCCUUAGACAGAAUUAAUUAAAUGUAAUAAAUUAAGAAAAUAAGUUCUAAUUAUUUAUUUAUUUACACAAUGAUUUCAUGAAAAAUUAAGGGUCUGUUAAGAUGAGCGAGGAUUCAAUUUGCUCAUCUUUACCAUUCCAGUAGUGUUUGAGACAUUGACCAUUAACUUUUAACGUACCUCCAUAAUUGUCGUAUAAUUGAAUAGCUCCGUAAGGAUAAACUCGGUAGAUGGUAUAGGGUCCUUUCCAUAAGGAUUUUAGGUUCCCAGGAAAUAAUUUUAGCAUUGAAUUAAACAACGAAACCUUCUGACUUUCUUUAAACUCGCGAGGUCGUAUAUGACUAUCAUGCUAUCUCUUUGAUCUUUCUUUACACAUUUUGGCAUUCUCAUAGGAAAACAACCUCAGCUCUUCCAACUCAUCCAAUUGUAACAUCCUUUUCUCACCGGCUUGCUUAAGAUCAAAAUUUAACUGCUUCAAAGCCCAGUGAGCUUUAUUCUCCAAUUCUAAAGGAAAAUGACAUGCCUUUCUGAAACUAACCAAUAAGGAGUAAUUCUUAAUGGAAUCUUAAAUGUUGUUCGAUAGGCCCAUAAUGCAUCAUCAAGCCUUCGAGACCAAUCUUUUCUGCUAGGGCGUAUUACCUUUUCAAGGAUACCUUUGAUUCCGUGUUUCACUCUUUCAACUGGCCCAUUAGACUGGGGGUGAUAGGUAGUAGCAAUUUUGUGCUUCACAUCAUAUUUGUCAAGCAAUCACUUAAGCCAUUUGUUCACAAAGUGAGAACCUUCAUCACUAAUAAUAGCUCUUGGUUUCCCAAAUCAUGUAAACACAUGCUUAUGUAGGAAUCACAUGACUACUUUAGCAUCAUUUGUAGGGUAUGCUUCAGCUUCAACCCAUUUGGAUACAUAGUCCACAGCACCUAAGAUGUAUUUGUUCCCAUAUGAAGAAGGAAACGGGCCUAAAAAGUCAAUGCCCCAUACGUCAAACAAUUUAAUCUCCAAAAUGUUUGUCAAGGGCAUUUCAUUCCUCAUUGAUAUAUUUCUAGUCCUUUGGCAUUUAUCACAAAUCUUCACAUAAGCAUAAGUAUCUUUAAAUAGUGUAGGCCAAAAGAAACCUGCUUCUAAAAUCUUUGCUGCAGUAUGUGAUCCAUCAAAGUGUCCCCCACUUGGAGAUGAAUGGCAAUGAUACAAGAUCUCAGCAAUCUUGCUUUUAGCUACACACUUUCGGAUUAUAUUAUCUACACAUUGUUUAAACAAAAAUGGUCCCUCCCAAAGAUAAUACCGACUAUGAUGAAGGAAUUUUUUCCUUUGUUGGUAUGUCAUUUCUCGAGGAAUUAUUCCACAUGCAAGAUAAUUGGCAAAAUCAGGAAACCAAAGUAUUUUAUGAAUUUGAUUUACCUCAAAUAAGUGUUCAUCUGGGAAGUUCUCGUUGAUAGGCACACAUGACAGAGGUACCUCAUUUUGCUCCAACCUCGACAGAUGAUCAGCUAUUUGAUUUUCGACACCUUUUCUGUCUUGGAUCUCAAGGUCAAAUUCUUGGAGUAAAAGUAUCCAGCGAAUUAGCCUUGGUUUUGCAUCUUUCUUCGUGAGCAAGUAUUUAAUGGCCGCAUGGUCAGUAAAUACUAUAACUUUGGUACCUAUAAGAUAUGAGCGGAAUUUGUCAAAAGCAAAAACUAUAGCAAAUAGUUCCUUUUUAGUUACUGUAUAAUUAAGUUGGGCUCCUGUCAAGGUUCCACUUGCAUAGUAAACGGGGUGGAGCACUUUAGUUUUUCAUUGACCCGUGAUAGCUCCAAUGGCAUAGUCACUUGCAUCGCACAUCAACUCAAAAGGUGAGCUCCAAUCGGGUGUAACGAUUAUUAGGGCUGAGAUUAACCACUUCUUUAGCUCUUUAAAAGCUUCUAAACAUGCUUUGUUGAAAUCAAACACUAUAUCUUUCUCUAACAACAAACACAACGGCUUACAAAAUUUUUGAGAAAUCCUUAAUAAACCUUCGGUAAAAACCAGCAUGGCCUAAGAAACGUCUGACUUCUUUCACAUUAAUUAGGGCCAGUAAUCUUUCAAUUACGUCCACCUUUGCUUUGUCAACUUCAAUUCCUUUCUUUGAAAUUCUAUGGCCUAAGACAAUCCCUUCCUUAACUAUAAAAUGGCAUUUCUCCCAAUUAAGGACAAGAUUCGUUUCUUCGCAUCUCUUCACUACCUUAGCCAAAUUACUCAAACAUAUAUCAUAAGUGUUACCAAAAAUAGAUAAAUCAUCCAUGAGAACCUCAACAAAAAUUUCAACCAUAUCAGUAAAUACUGCCAUCAUGCAUCGUUAAAAAGUUGCAGGUGCAUUGCAUAAACCAAAAGGCAUUCGCCUAAAAGAAAACGUACCGUAUGGACAAGUAAAGGUUGUUUUAUGUUGGUUCUCUGGGGCUACAACUACUUGAUUAUAUCCCGAAUAACCAUCUAAAAAAAUAGAAUUCAUUACGUGCCAGUCUAUCUAACAUCUGACCCACAAAAGGUAACCGAAAAUGAUCCUUCUGAGUGGCUUCAUUCAGCUUUCUGUAGUCAAUACAGAUUCUCUAACCAGUAACGGUUCUUGUCUGAAUCAAUUUGUUGCGCUCAUUUUCAACAAUCGUGAUUCCACCUUUCUUCGACAUACACUACACCGGACUUACCCAUGAUCUAUCUAAAAUAGGAUAGAUGAUUCCUGCAUCUAACCAUUUGAUCACUUCCUUCGUCACAACUUCCUUCAUAAUAGGAUAGAGCCUCCUUCGCCCAUCAAUUCAACCUCUUUCACCUUCCUCUAAAAUAAUUUUAUGCAUGCAAAAAGAAGGGCUUAUACCUCAAAUGUCAGCUAUGGUUCAACCAAUUGCUUUCUUAAAUCUCUUUAAAACAACAAUAAGUUGUUCCUCCUAAUCUUUCAUUAGUUCUGCUAAAAUAAUCACAAGCAAAGUAGAAUAGUCACCUAAAUAAACGUAUUUCAAAUGGGAAGGAAGUACCUUUCGUUCGAGUUUAGGUGGUUCUUCAAUUGACAACUUGGGUUGCACAAAUUCUCUGACUUCUAACUCCAACGGUUCAAACCGUGUGGAUUGAAUAAAAUUUCUCGGGUUGGCUUCCAUCAAAACCAUGUUUUCUUCACCUUUUUUAUUCUCCAAAGGGUCAAGAUCUAAGGUUUUCUCCAAUGGAUCUUCUUUAAAAUUACUUUCCCUAGAAACCAAGGUUUCUAUCUCUUCCAUAACUAAACACUCCUCUGUUGGAUCGGGAAAUUUCAUUGCUUUAAGAAUGUUAAAGGUUACCUGAACAUUUUGAACUCGCAUGGUGAGUUUUGCCUUUCUGCACAUCAAUUAACGUUCUCCCUGUAGCCAGGAAAGGUCUCCCAAGGAUAAUUGGCACUUCCUUAUCUUCUUCAAAAUCUAAAAUAAUGAAAUCAGCAGGAAAAAUAAAUUCAUCGACUCUUACCAAAACAUCCUCGAUCUUUCCUUUGGGAUAUGCUAACGGUUGAUCCGCUAGCUGAAGCAUCACAAUUGUAGGUCUUACUUCACCUAUGCCUAACAUCUUGAAAAUAGACUUAGGCAUCAAGUUGAUACUCGCUCCUAAGUCACACAAAGCUUUACCACAGUAAGAUUCACCAAUGUUAAAGGGUAUAGUAAAGCUUCCUGGGUCUUUCAAUUUCGGUGGCAGUUUGUUCUGCAGGAACGCACUGCACUCCCUUGUCAAGGCAACAGUCUUAUUCUCACUCAGUUGUUUCUUCUUGGAUAGUAUAUCCUUCAUAAAAUUCACAUAAUUUGGCAUUUUUUCAAAAGCCUCCACCAACGUAAUAUUGAUGUGUAACUGCUUUAGAACAUCCAAAAAAUUCUUGAAUUGCACCUCCUAUUUUUGCUUGUGUUGCUGAAAUCUUUGUUGAUAUAGAGGUGAUGGAACUUUCGGUUGAACCGGACAAAUUUUCUGAGUAGGUAAAUCUGCAUCCAAAGAAGAUAUUAAAAUAUCUAAAUUUACUAAGCCAGUGUUUACCUUGUCAGACUUUAUAGAUUCUGAUUCCUUUAGUGUAGGAACUUCAACAGUUGGUUGAUUUCCCUCCUUUUCAACAUGCUCAUCUUCGACAUCAAUCAAUCGAGGUUCUAGAGUCUUACCACUUUGCAAUGCCACUACCUUAAUAUGUUCUUUACCCAAAUUCCUUAGAUUCUCAGUAUUGCUUAGCAAGGUUCCUUGCGGUCUAUUACGAAGCUCCGUAGCCAACUGACCCAUUUGGUUUUCCAAAUUUUUCAGUGUUGCUACUUGGCUUUGGAUCAAAGCGUUAUUCUUUGCCAUGUACACUUUCGACAAGUUCUCCAAACUGUUUGAUACCUCGGCUUGAGGUGGUUUUGGAGCUUGUUGAUUAAACCCUUAAGAUUGGUUGGGUCUUUGCUCCAAUAACUUGUUGUUUGGUCCAUUUCCUUGGUUACUCUAAGAAAAGUUAGGAUAAUUACACCAUAAAGGAUUGAAGAAGUUGGACUAGGGUCCUUGUCCACUCCUAUUUUGAUAUUGGUUCCCCACAUAGUAAACUGACUCGGGAUUUGAUGGACAAUUCUCAAAAGAAUGACCUUCCCCACAGUACACACAGAAAACUAGUUCAAACAAACUUGGUGGCUGAGCUACAAAAUUAUUAGCACUAUUAGCGGUUAACUAUUUUAACAUAUAGGAAAGAGACGAUAACUGAGCUGAUAACGAAGUGAGGGAGUCAACUCCAUGAAAUCCAGCCACACGUCUUUCUGAAGUUGUUCGAUUUGUUGGUCAUUGAUAGUUAUUACUCACGAUCCUCUCGAUGAUCUCAUAAGCCUCAUUAUAAGACUUAGACAAAAUUGCACCAUUCGUGGAAGCAUCUACCAUCAAUCUUAUAUGUGCAUUGAGACCACUAUAGAAUGUCUCCAACUGGAUAUAGUGAGGAAUCCCAUAAUGAGGACACUAACGAAGUAACUCCUUGAAUCGCUCCCAAGCCUCAUACAAAGAAUCGUCAUCCAAUUGUUGGAAAGUUGUAAUCUUGUUCCUCAACUUAGCAUUUUCUCUAGGUGGGAAAUACUUAACCAAAAAUCUCUCUGCUAAUUCUUGGCAUGUAGAUAUGGAACAUGGUGGUAAUGAAUUGAGCCAUACUCGUGCUCAAUCUCGCAACGAGUACGGAAACAAAUUUAACCUCAAUACGUCUUUAGUCACACCGGCUAUCUUGAAUGAAUCACUCACCUCCAUAAACAAUCAAAGGUGGAGAUGUGGAUCUUCCGUAGGCAUACCACUAAAUUGGCCCACCGCUUGUAUCAUUUGAAACAUCACUGGUUUCAAUUCAAACCAGUAAUUCCUGGGUUUAGCUCAUUAAAAAGUGGCACAGCAUAUUUUUUAUGCAUCGAUCCCUAUCAUCGACAAUAAGGAUAGGAUUUCGUACAUGAUCGGCUUCAUUACCUUGGUCUUGAUUCUGAUUUUCAAGGUCUAGCUCGACUUGUCUUUGAGCUAUUCAUUCACGUCUUCUUUGUCUGAAAGUUCAUUCAAUUUCAGGGUCUAUAAUUUGAUCUAUGCUCAUAAACACCUGAGAAAAAAAUCACAAAAAUUAAAAAGAAUAAGUUAGUAAUUUUAGAGAUAAAUCAAAUUGAAAAUAAAUAAUUCCACGAAAAAAUGAAUAUGGCAACAGUUGACAAUCCUCGGCAACGGCACCAAAAACUUGUAACGCUUGGUUUUGUGCAAGUUUACAUAGUCGUUAUCCAGUAAUAAGUAAGUAUUGAGUUAUCGUCUCCACAGGGAUUGUAUUUGUGCUAAGUCACUUAAUUUGUGCUAAGUCACUAAAAUUAUUAUCAACAAGCUUAAUAACAUUCGGAAAAAUAUUCCAUGGCAACUCGGUCUUUCAUGAGUUUGGAAACCACAUUAGGUCCUUUCGGAGUCCUUUACUUAGUAAAUAAGCAUUUUACUGAUCCUUAUUUACUAAGGUUUUCUUAGCAUUUGUGGAGGUAACAGAGACGUGUGAGGUUUGAAACAAUUUAAUCACGCAAAUCUAAAAAUUAUGCAGAUAACAGAACUUAGUUAGAGUUGUUAUGCAACCUACAAUUUAAUCGGGCUAGGAUCUAUAUUGAGCAUGCACAGUUCAAUUAUGCAUCCAUUAGCCGUCGUCUGAUUAGGAUCGCUCAGCUAAUUUAGGUGCAUUUCAAUCACAUAUGAACGAAAUGCAGACUUUAUUUUAAUUGAAAACACGAUUGAUUGAGGCACAAACAUUAUAAGCAUGAAUCAAAUAAAUAUUAUUUAAUCAAAAUAAUCAUCCUAGCUUAAAUAAAAUUAAGCAAUCAUUGUUGUAAACAAGAACAAAGAACACAUAGCAAACAUCUUAAUAUUAAAUUAAGGAAAAGAAAGAUUAAACCCAAUUCAGAGUGAAUGUCACCCAAGACUCUAACUGACGAGGCUCCUUUGCUUUUUUGCUUUGCUCCUUUGUUGCUGGCUCUCUAAGGUGGCCGACCAAGGGUUCUUUAAGAGGCUUAAUUUCUAAAAUCCUUAUGCAAGGGUGAUGAAGGGGAAAGAUAGCUAAAAAAUUUGAAAGAAUGAUGAAUGAGUGAGAGAUGAGGGGUUGAGGGAUGAUUGAAAAAGUGAGAAAUGAGCUUUUAUUUAUAGGUGAGGCAAGAGAGCAAGUUUGCUAAAAAUAGGAGAUUCCAUCCUUUGAAACUUCCUCCAAGAGUGGCCGGCCAUGAAUUGAGGAAAGGUAGCUGAUUUUUCCUUGAUUUUUGGUCAAUUUGAGUGCCAGAACAACUCAGGACUAAGACUUGGUCAUCAGCAAAUCUUCGGGAAAAUCUCCGAUUUCUUUAACUCUUCAAGGCCUUUGUAUAAUUAAACCAAAAAAUGGUUUAUGACAUCCAUGUGUUGCCAAAAAUUGGGUUGUCUAGGUCCCCAAUUUGGACGGUUUUGCAAUUAGAAGAAAACUCUCAGACCUGUCCAAAAAUAGUAGAUAGUUUAGAAGACCAAAUAAUAUAAAUUAACCACUUUAAUUAAUUAAUUUACUUAAUUAAUUAAAACCCAAUUUAUUAAUGAAAUAUUAAAAAUGAAUUAUUAAAUAUAACUUUAUAUUUUAUUAUUUAAUUUAAUCAUGCAUGGCCCACUUUAUAGCUUAAAAAUAUAAUAUGCUCUAAUUAAUAUAAAAUAAGUCAUUUUAUGCAUGAAAACUAUAUAAUAAAGUAUAAAAUCACAUUUUAAUAAUAUCUAUGUCCUAGUUUCAUAUUUUUCACAUAUUUCAUUAAUUUAUUAAACAAUUACUUGGUUUUAACAACAAAUUUAAGUAAAAAUGUAAUGAAUUAUAUAGGAAAAAUCCUAUAUAUUUUUAAGUUUACAACUAUUUGAAUGAAUUUUUAUCGAUUUGUGAUUUUUAUUGAUAUGUUUUAGAUUAAAUUAAUAGAUAUUUGUGCAUUGGUUGUUUUAUCAUGAUAAGUUUAUUUGCAAAAUUAAAAUUUUUUAGGUUGUUUCACUGAAUUGAGGUAUUAUUACCUUGAAGUUUGAGAUUUGCAAGAUUGACAUCACAAACUAUAAUUUUUUUGUGAGAUUUUGAACCUUUAGAGAAUACAUUUUUCUAGCUCAUUUUUAUUAUUGGUUAUGAGUGUGUCAAUAUUGAUUUUUUAUUUCUAGAACUUGCUUGAUUAUGCAUGUCAAGACCACACCUUCGAUUUGAUAUACUGAUAUGGUAAAGGUACUUAGGUUUUAACUCACUUAUCCCAUAGAAGUCUACCUACAUAAUUAACCCUUAGUGAACCUCUUUGAGUCUAACACAUCAUUUCUUGAUUUACACAUAAAUGGUAACCCAUAACUCAUUUUUUUGUUCAUUGAGAAAUUUCCCCGUAUUAGUGACUCUCUUUUUGCCGAGAUUUGAUUUGGUUAAUUGUCUAACUAUGCUAUUUUGUUUCAUUUGCUGAGUUAUUUCUAAUUCUUGCUAAAAAAUAAAAAAAUGAUGAGAAAAAAAUAAAUAAAUAAUACAUUUAUAUUAAUUAUUAUUUAGUUCUAUGUUAAUUGAGCUUGAACAGUUAAAUUCAUAUUUUGAGAAGAAGCUCGUGUUAUUCUUGAAUAGUUUUCGAUUAAUGUAAUUGUUUUUAAUUUAGCAUUUGUUUAUUUUUCUAGUUUGAUAAUUUAUCAAUUCAAUCUCGAUUUUAACCAUCUUUUUCAGCCUUUCUCCACACCUUUAACCAAAGCCCAUUACAACCUCUUAAAUACCUUUUGAUUUGUGUAUCAUCUCAUUUUAUAGUGGUGGAGAUUUGAUUUUAAUGCAAGCCUAUGGUAAUGACUUUUCAUGUUUGACUAUUGAGUGCUUAUUUUUGAACCUUAAACACUUUGAGUGAUUUGAGUGAAUCUUUAGUGAGGAUGUCAAUUCUUGUCGAUUUUGAAUUAAAGGUAAUUACUUCUACUCCUUUACAAAGUUUUUUCAAUCUUUGGGUCAAAAGCAUUAUCUUCGUUAACAGAAAUGCUUCUACUCAUGUAUUGAUGGCAAACCUGUAAAAAUUAAAUACAACUAAGUUAGCUAAAACUAAUGAAACAAAAUAAAAUUUCACCAAUUGCCAAUCCCCAGCAAUGAUGCCAAAAACUUGUUGCUUGUGAAUAUGAUGUGUGAAUUGUGCAAGUAUACAUGUCGAAUAAGUAAUAAAGUGAUGAGUGAGAUCAUCUCCAUAGGGAUUAGAUAGGUAGAAUUUGGUUGAGUUAUUAGAGUUAAGCUUGAUUAAUGCUAAAGAAAAAUAACAGUGAGAAUGUAGUGGCAAAAUGAGAGAAUGAUGAUAUAUAAAUUUGUGCAAAACAAAACAAGUAAAUGAAACAAGUAUGUCACAAAAAAUUAAAUACAAAAAAGAAUAUUAAUGAACUACAAUGUUGAUUAGGACAGCUUGGAUUACUGAUGCAUCUACCUUUUCUAACUAUUAAUGCCACAAAAAAGUCUUGAACAUUCUACUGCUCGAUAGAUUUCUACAGCAGUUUGCUUUUUUCAAGAGCAAAACCUUGGGCUACCUCCCCUACGGUACUAUAUGUCUAUAGACAUGACUUCCGCUACCACAAAUAUUUUCUACCUUUCUUUGCAUGAGGCAAGGCUUUAUGUCUAGAGGUUGAUAAGAAUAAAUAAUUUAUCAUUCACUUAUGUUAUCCAAUAUCUAUCCAGUUACCCUAACUUUGUUGGCAAUAAGUUAUCUUUAAUAACCUGUUGCCUAUUCAUCAAUACACAACCUAUAUACUGCUUAAAAUACUAUUGGAUAAAAUAGUAGAAAAAUUCCAACUUAAAUUGUGAACAUUAGUAGAAAUUAAAGGGUUCAGCAAAGUAAUCCCUAGCCUAAGAGAUUUAGCUCAUAGUUGGGUAAAUCGAGUUCGAGUUUAAUGUAGUAACAAAAAUAAUCUUUAACAAUUAAGUUCUAAAGGAAAUGUGAUAAGAAUUAAGGGAGAAAAAUUGAAAAGAUGGUUUUCGCCUAUUCAACUCUCAACACCAGCAGCGCAAUGUCUUGUAGUUGCUAAAGAUGAUGCAGUCGUUUUCUCCCACUUCAGUUGCUUCCCUUCUAGGUCCUUCCCUCCGUUUCUGUUAAAAGCUUCUCUUUCUAUCCAAAAACUACCUUUUCUAGGGUUCCCCCUUUGGCUUUUAUAUGUUUGACCUUCUAGGGUAGGUCCAUCAACUUAUCAUUCUUUCUCUCUUUUUCAGGUGGAUUUAUCUAGUACAAGUACAGCUAGGGCUGAGAACAGUAUGCAUUAAGUGCUGACUAGGCAUCUUCCAAGUGUCGCCAUAGCAUUUGUGUUGGCAAAAUAUCUGAAAUUUGUCAUAGCAAACCUUCAAUACUUUACUCUUUUUCCUACACUCUGCACCUGCCAAUCAACCACGAAGCAAGUCCUUCCCACAGGCAAUUAAAAGUAACAUGUAAUAGCAGUUAAGCACCAUCCAAGCUCUUUAAUGCAAUACUCUAAAAAUACCAAUGUAAUAUCCUAAAAUGGAACUAAAAUCACUUAAGUACAAGCAAUUAACUAAGUCUAAGGGCAUGAAAUGCAACUCUUUUCAAGAGAUAUCAAGGAGACUUAUAUCCUUUCCUCCCAUGGUAUCCUUCAUACUCCCAACUAGGUGUUAAAUCUCUAUUUGCAUCAAACACGGAUGAGCCAUUGGGCCACCUAUAGUCAUCAUUAAACAUGUCAGUCAGUCAAUUAUCAGUAAAAUAAAAUCAAGAAAAUCCUAAAAACAAAAAAAUGUUGUAUCUAUAAAUUUAAUUUUCACUAGUUAUCUCGUUAUAAGCUUGCAAUAAUAACAUAAGAAAAUUCUCAAAUUUUGAAUCAACUCCCCAGCAAUGGCACAAACAACUUUGACUGUAUCGCAGUAGUGCGCAAAAAAAUGAACGAUUUGAUAAAGACAAUUUAAGGUGUGAUUUUACUUCAAGCGUACAGGUCAGUUGUAAUAUUUGGAAGUGUACAAUGAAACACUUAGAGUAUUUCAAGGAUCAAACUGAAGAGUGUAACACCCUAUACCCGGUUUGGUCUCCAGACCCGAACUAUAAGGCAUUACAACAUUAAACCUUGAAAAUUUAUCAUAAAAUAGUUCAAUAACAAAUAAAUAAAUCAUAACCAUUCAAUUCUAUACUAUUAAAUUAACUUGGGACCUAAAUUGAGCAUACGAAACAUUUAAAACAUAUCAGAAAUGAUACUAGAUUAAAAUGAAACUUUUAAAUUUUUUUGAGUAAAAAGUGAAAAUAGGGGUCACACGACAGUAUGGCUAGGCUGUGUGUCUUAAGAACAUGACCGUGUGGCCAAACCAUGUAAUAAUUUUGGCCCAUAUAACUUAGGGUCAUACGACUAUGUUUCUAAGUCAUGUAACUCUUUGAGACCGUGUGGAUAAUCUUGCACCAAAAGUUAAAGAUAUAACAUGGUCAUGUCAUUAAAAUGUGUGGGGCACACAGCCGUGUGCCAAACCAUGUCCGAGACUGUGUGUGCCCAAAAACACCUUCAAACAUAAGCCAUUUCACAUACCAAAAUUCAGACUUCAAGCUAUGCAUUAAACAUAAUUCAAACCUAUUCAAAUUUUGCCAAAACAUGCCAAAAGACAUCAAUACAAAAAUCAACCUAUGUGUCUAACCAAUAUGCCCUCAUUGGCUCCCCAAUUCAAACCUAUAUAACAUCCAUUCAACCCAAGCACAUACCUCAAGUUAAACUCAAUCAAUCAUCACGCAAAAUCUAGAUACCAAGUGCCAAAGUUCAACCAUAUAAACCAAAUCAUCAAAUGCCCAUAUAUCUUAUCCAAAGUUCAUACAUUUUCAUAACCAAAUUGACCAUUUCAACUAAACAGAAAACAUUCCAAGUUGCCUAUUGACAUAAACAUACAGAAAAAAACAUUAAAAGUGCUUUUAAAUACAACAUCAUUCAUUCACUAUCACAUACUUCAACCAACCAACAUAUCAAUAAGAUUUGUAUAAAAAGAUUCACUAUAAUAUUCGAAAGGCACAACAUAUAACAAUAGUUUUUAUACCAUGCAAACCAAAUCCCUAUUUACAUGCCACUUAUAACCAUGAUAGAAUAAACGAAUAGCUACUGAAUGAGUUGUCGAAUAGUGUGAUCUCCAACGAUGCUCCAAUCGACAAUGAAAGUGUAAUGAUCUACAAAGAAGAAAAUAAACUAAAGUAAGCUUACAUAAAUCUUAGUAAGUUCGUAAAGCAAAACAUCACAUACCUAUUAAUUUAAUUACAAAUCAUACAUAUCUUGAAACUAACAAUCCUUUGUCAUAUUUCAUCAUUUGAACAAUCCACAAUAACUAAACAUGGAUGAUUCUCAUCAUAAAAUACAACAUGUUAAUUAAUCAUGUACUUAAAUAUGAAUCAUCAUAUCAUUCUAUUAAAUUUUCAUUUCGAUAGUUAACUAAAUUGCUAGGAGAACAAUUGUAAAUCAAAUUUGGAUAAACGAGAGGGUAAUAUCCAUACAAGCUAACGUAAGGACUUUAACCAAUACACGAUACUACUCAUACAAGCUUCAGAGAAUUCGUAACACAUGAAGAAUCUCAAGCCAUCGAUACAGUAUUGAUCACUGGUACAUAGUACCUACUAAAUAUAACAUCGGCACAAAAUGCUUGCUACUGAAACACCGGUACAAAGUACCUGCUACUAAAAUCACCGAAAAAUAAUGCCUGGUAAAUAUACAUUGAGACAAAGUGUUUGCUAUGCCCUAAUGGCAUGUCAUUUGUAUCCUAUCUAUUCACUAAGUUCACACAGGCUUAUUAUGCUUUUUCAAGACAUUUCAGACUCAACUUUAUCCUUCCAUUUCAUCAAUCAUCUAAUAGAACAUAACAUCAUUCAAAUUUCAUAUUACCAAACAUGAAAUAAGUUAAAACAUUCACAACAUAAUAAAUAUAAUAUAAACUUACCCAAAUAUGAUAGCUAGCAACAAGCGACGACGAUUACCUGACGACUUUUCCUUUCCCCUAUUUAUCAAUAGAUUGAUUCAUUUCUUGAUCUAAAUAUAAUAAUUUUAUUCAAUUAAUGACAGCCUCUGGACGUACUAAUGUCUAGAGUGUGAAUACUAAAAUAAAAAUAUAUGAAAUUAAGGCGGUGUUUGCAAGUAUAUGGGUCAGGUUGUAAUAGAGUUUGUUUACAACAAAACACAAGGUAAGUAUUUUGAGGAUCGUACCUGAGGGAUUGCAGUUUAGAGAAAAUUGUUAUUAAGUUAAUUAGCAAAAAUAAUUACUAAUCUACUUGAGUUACGAAUUAGUAGUGUUAAUAUCGAAGCAAGUUGAUAAUAAUAUUAAUAAACUAUAUAAAUUUAAAUAAACCUAAAUCUACUCCUAAGUUCAUGUAUCAACUUCUCUUAUCCCUUUGUUUUGACUGUGCGAGUUCAUUUAGCAAAUUAAUUAUUGAUUUUAGUAGUGUUAAUAUCUAAUUAUUUUAACAGAUUAAUUAUUGAUGUAGGGCUUUAUUCAAUUAGCUAGUCGUCAACCUAGUUGUGCCUCUCGGUAUCCAACUAAGUUAAUGAGUUGGCAAGAACUACUUAUCUCUCGACCUCACAGUUCAGACCGGUUUGGGGCUAAGGUGUUUAUGGAUAGACCAUACCAAUUUUGGGUUAAUUCUCAUCUAAAUGACUUUCUAGGGUUGUUAAGCCUGGGGUUUAAGAUAUUCCUCUCACAAAGAGUUGAUCCACUAAGAAACUCUAUCCUUCAAUGACUUAAUUAGGUUAAAAAAAGAAUAAAUUGAUUCUAAUAUUUACACAAACAUUCAACUAGCAAUGUUAAAGAAAGAGAUAUAAAGAAUAGAAUAAGGAAAAGAGAAGCUCAUGUAUUUAUUGAACAAAGCAAGCCUCUAGAACAAUAUCCACUCGCGGAAGUCUUACUUCAGAAUAGGAUAUUCUGAUUACAAGAACAUAAAAUACCCUAAGUGAAAACUAAGAACAAAAUAAAAACCUAAGAAUAAUUUUUGUCUCCCUAAAAUUGUGUAUUUAAACUUAUUACAAUGGCCUUUAUAUAUGAUGAACAUGGAAUAUUAAAUUACCUAAAUUAUCCUUGAAGUCUUUAGAGUUUGACUGGGAAAAAUACUCCUAAUUUCCCUAAAAAAAUGCAAUUAUCUCGUGCAUCGGCUUUUUGGGCUGUGUAGGGGCGGUGUUGUAACACAAGCAUGUAGUGUUGCAACUUCGGAUCCAACAUCGCGACAUCAAAGGGAUGUGUCACAACACCGAAGGCAGUGUUGCUUUAGGGCUUUGUUUUUGCUUCUAUCUUUGAUAUUCCAACCUUGGUGUUUUGGUGUCAUGACAUAGGCAUUAUUUUUUUCCAGAAUAUGCAUCUUUAGCUCCUGAUUUUUCCUACAAGACCAUGUAAUCUUAUUUAGAUGUAUAAAAUGUAAUAAAAACUACUAAAAAGCAUAAAUUACUACUUUAAGAAUGAAAACCUAAAUAUAUACUAAGAUGCUUCAGUUUAACUAUUAAAUAAGCUAAAGUUAAGUGUAAAAAGUAUGUAAAUACUAGUAAAUCGUGGAAGAUCAAUCCCUCACACUUAACUUGUUGCUUUUCUUCGAGCAACCAAAACACAUAUAUAAGAAAAAGAGAAAAAAUAAAAAAAAAUUAAUGUGAAAAUGAAUUGAUUUCUUUCUUUAAACACUCUAGAUUUAGUGAAGAUGGAUGUAAAUAAGAACCUCACAACUGAAGUCCCCCACACUUAACUUUUUGCUUGUCCUCAAGCAAACUAGGUCUAGACACACAACAUGCAAUAAGAAUACGUCUAUUGGAUUUUAUUACUACUAAAGAACAUGAUUAUCAAAUAUUAAAGGUAUAACAAUUCUUAUCACACAUGUAACUUAAUCUUGAUAGUUCGAUACCUUGAAAUUUUUUAAAAGUAGAUUAGAACUAGUUUACAAAGUUACAUUACUAACAAAUUAGAAGUAGUUUCCAUGACCAACUAUUUAACAAUAUCACUAUUAACAUAAAUUAAAUAGAUAUGUAGCAGACACAAUCAUGUGAAUCAAAAAAAUAUUUAUCAUGUAUAGCUGUUAGCUAUUCUAGAAGAUUAUGCACAGAGAACGCUUAAGUCACAUUUUUCUUUUAGGCAUGUAACAUUCUGAGGCUUAGGAUGGUAUGAGUUCAAAGAAAGAUAUUACUCAAAAUGGUUCAAACACUAGAAAUAGUUAGGUACAUGACAUUGUUCCUUUUCUUCCCCCUUAAUGUCCUACCCAAGCUCACCACCUUUUGUCUCCAUCACUCACCUACCUUAUCUCUCCAUGUAGGAAGAUACAACAUAAUACUAGCAAUUAUGGUCAUCUUAAUGAGUUUUGGUGCACUGAUGAUUAAUUUUUCUCACUUUUGUGACUUUUUGUUUUGCCACUUGAAUUUUUACUCUUUUCUUAGUCACAGUGCUUUUGUUUCUAUUCUGUAUUUUUUCUUAUCAUUUUUACUUCUGACUUUUUUCUAGAUUUUUCUUUGCCUCAUAGUUUUUCGCGACCUAUAAUCAUUGUAUCACAUUUUUUCUUCCUUUUUCACUCUUUAUUUUGAAACCACUGUGAUGUAUCUACCUAAACCCUCAAUAUCUAUGGCUUGAUGUCUAUUUCGAAAUGUAUUAAAGGACCAAGGAUAGGGAAGAGUUCAAAUUUUAUGCAUGGUCUUUGGGUUUCAAUUUUUUUGGUUCGUCAAAAAGGAGUUAUUAAUCUCAAAUAAGGAGACUAGGGAUGGUCAUUUGAGAACUAACUAUUCAAACAAUGCCUUUGUUCAUCCCUAAACAUCCCACCAUACACAAUUUCUUUCAUGCUUCAGAUUAAAUCGAAUGAAUAAUAAUCAAUUCAAGCAUUCACGCUUCUAUGACUAUCUAUAAGACUUAUAUCUCAUAUGGCUUCAUCAAACAUUCUUGCCUAGGUACUUCUAAUCUAUUAUGGAAUUUAACUAAGUAACCUAAUCAAUUUCCCUUUAAAAAUAAUCAAAUUAUCUCCUAUCAAUAAAAAAUUUCAUGCUUGAAAAAAAAUCAUUACAUGCUUUAUUAUUUUCAACCACUAUUCACAGUAUUAAUAUAACCCAAGCAUCAUGUAACAAAAACAAUAAAAAAAUUUUAAUGAAAUAAUCAACUAAAAUAAAGCAACACAAAAAAAUUAAUCCUAUGUACUUCCCCACACUUUAGGACAUACAUUAUCCUUGACGUAAAGAAAAUAAAAGCAUGAAAAAAACCUCCUUAUUUCUGUGAUAGUCUCUAUGUGUUUCAGGCGAACGAAAGAGUACCUAAAAAAUUCUACAAAAAGAAAUAUGAAAUAUAAUGCAUAGAAAAUAAAAAUAAAAAAUAAGAGGAAAAAAGAAGAAGUGUUGAUAAUGGAUGACAAAACAUCUUAGAUGAACUUGUCCCUUCAAUGUUGCAAGGUUUCGUUCUGUUUAGGAUGUCGCAACAUCAAGCCUAGUUUCUGGCUUCUUUGAUUUUAUUUCGAUUCUAUCACUCCAUGGUAUCUACACUUGCCAUGGGAGGAAAAAAACUAAAUACAACUACAAUUAAUAAAAAUAAAAGAAAAAAGAAACAAAAAUUAAAGUAAGAAAUAUAAGUUCUUUAAAAACAAGGACGAUCCAUGUUGCCACCAUAGAAGAACUUCUAGUUGGUUCUCGACACUUCGAUUUGACAUUUGUUCUGCUGUCGAUAUAUAUGAACCAGCCUCUUCAAUUAAUUCCAAUGAUGUUGCCUUAUUUUUGACAGACGUGACAUCCACGUUACGAGCCACUUGGUACCAAAUCUGAGCCAACCUCAAAUCAUUUUUCGGGGUAUUAUUGCCUCGAGCUUCCUUCCUUCCAUGUCACAUGAAGUUUUAGUCACUCGAGCUUUAUUUCCCUUGUCAAAUGAGAAUGAAUCGAACUCAUCGAUCUCUUCAACUGAUACCUUUUUUGCUAUGGCCAGAAAGUGUAUUGGCUCUUCUACAUUUUCAUUCUGAAUCGAUUUAAGCUCCAUGUUAGUAGUUAAUUCUACUUUUACAUCCAUGACUAGAUCUACUGUUCUGUCUGAUUCUACGUCAAUUGGAUCAGAGACCACUUCAUUCAUAUUCAAUUCAUCCCCAUGAUCUCCAGUUCCAAAUUAUUGUUGACUACUAUUGUUUAAUUUAGGGUGGUAUACAAUAAAACAAAAGUCCUCUAGAUCAAGGUUGGGAACAUCAUGCACGACCUCUUCCCUAGGAGAUAAUGCCAAGGAUAUUUCUUACAGCUUCUUCAUCUAUUCUAUCAUGUCUGACAUGUUUGAUAAUCUUUUGAAGCCAGACGACUCAGCAGUUUUGUAUGAGGGCAUCUUAUGCAAAUCACAAGGAGGCUCAUCUGAGUGUUUAGGCAUAUCAUCAUCUUUAUCAUACGAAUCAUAAAGAGGUUCAUAUAAGUACUCAUUUUCCUCACACCCUUCAUCAUCGCUCUAUUGGUUUGUCGUGGCUUCACUCGACCAACCUGUUAUGUAGUUCAAUUCAUUGUCCCAAGAAGUUCCUUCAUCAUUAAACC
Molecule: long non-coding RNA, 80874 nt
Filed under: Gossypium barbadense (sea-island cotton)
Lineage: Eukaryota; Viridiplantae; Streptophyta; Magnoliopsida; Malvales; Malvaceae
Description: long non-coding RNA (GBAR_LNC019991)
Rfam family: Plant small nucleolar RNA R71 (bases 68894-69000)
Source: RNAcentral